GAGUCACCAAGUGUAAGUUACAUGUGUUCAAAUAAAUGAAAAGAUUGUAAAGAUAUUUGGAACGAAAAUGUAAUUAAAAAUAAAGAUUGUAUUUUGAGAAAAUGACAUGUACCAUGUAUUAUAAAGAUUGUAUUUUGAGAAAAUGACAUGUACCAUGUAUCAUGUAUCUAAGUUGAAAAAUGUAUGUAUAAAUGUAGUUGUUCCAAUAUUGUAAUAAUUAGAUUUAUAUUCUCGCUCUUGUGAUAUACCCUCGUGUAGAACUGUAUUAUGUUAUUUUUUCUAGGUGCAAUUUAAUAUAUUUGGUUUUGUUUACGCGUUGGAUGGAUAGAAAAAACUAUAUUCGUUCGGCGGGUCUGUACACGUGCCUGCAUAGCCUCCAUUGUGAAAUGGGGCAGGACAUGACAAUAGCGACAACGGUGCCGAAGGAGAAGAGAGGAAUGAGAAAAGGAAAGGAGAGAUGAGUAAGGGCAUUCUAAUCAGAUUUCUAAAAACCUAGACUAAAUUUGUAAUAUUAAAAAAAAAAAAGGCCAGAUUUACAAAAGUACAAAACCAAUAGAUUUUUUAUGCAAAUUGGCCAAACUUCUUUGCAAACUAGUGGUCAACAUGAAAUUUGUAUUUCACCAAUUUUCUAAAGCCAUAUGAUAUAGUAAAAAUCCCAUCACAAAUAAUAUAUAUAUGAUGAUAUGAUAAGUUUGAAUACAAAUAAUAUUGCUUUUUAUGACGGAUAGAAGUGUGCAUAAUCAAAUGUUAUUAUUUUCAAAUAAUAAUAUACUGAGUAUAUAGAGAAUAUUUUAUCUCAAAAUAUUUUCACUAAAAUCAUUUUUAUGUUAGUUUAUCUACCCUUUCCUCUAAUUUGAAGCUGGUGUAUAUAUAUGCUUACCCUUUAAUAGAAGAAUUUCAAUGUGUUGUUAACAUGCAGGCAAAUUCAUGCCACAUUAAAUUAUCCAUAUUAGCUAACAAAAAAAAUUUAUAUUAUAUUUAUACUUACAUAAUAAUAUUAUAUAAAAUCAGUAAUUUGUUUAACGUAGCAGUACUCUUCCCAGUUUCCCUUUACUAAUUUUCGCUUUUACUUUGAGAAAGGAGUCAGUGUGCGAUGUGGGGGUUUUGAGAGAGAGAGAGAGAGAGAGAGAGAGAUAGAGAUGUGUCCUUCUCUAGGCUUUACUAAAAGAAUGAUUGGCCAAACACUCGUGUUCGGAGGGGAUGGGCGUACCAAAACCGUACGUACCGCACAUUUAAGAGGGAUGAGAGGGAGUAUUUAUUUGCUUGCAAACUUAAUUGUCACACAUUAAUGAUGCGCAGAAAAAAAAAUAAAAGAAUAUAAACCGUUUUGCAAAAAAAAAAUAAUGUUGAUAAAAAUAAAAAUGUACAAAAUAAUGUACUGAAAUUAUAUAUAGACCAUUUUUUUAAUUUAAUUAUCCAAUCUUUGGGUAUUUAACUUUUAAUUUAUUUGAUUUAAAUUAAUAUUUACUUUAAUAAAAUUUAUAAUUACGAAAAUUAAAUAAAAUAUACUGACUAAAUCUGUAAAAUUAAAUGAUGUAUUUAAGUUUUGAAGUCCAAAAUAUCGUUGACUAACUGAAAUCAAAUAAAUUGAAAAGCUAUGUAGUAAAACAAAAAAUUUUUAAAGGUUGGAUAGUCAAAUCAGAAUGGUCUAUAGUUCAUAUUAGUUUUAUACAUUUUUAUGAAUAAUAUUACGAGCGCCUCAAAAUAUGCAACAAAAUGCUAUAAUAAGCAAGUGGCAAAUCUUUAUGACGUAACACUUGUUAGGGUCAUCUGGUUUAAGAUUUUUGAUAAUUCAAAAAUAUUAUAUUUUAUAUUUGGAAUAAUAAGCCUGUAACUAACUUCUUAAGGCAACUGGAUUGGAAGGUUGUUAAGAACUAAUAUAUUCUUAUUAAUUAACUAUUAACUAUUCAUAUCAAGCAUGAAAAGAAGAGUACCUCCCAAUUCAUAAUAAUUUAGUGUACCAACCAUCUACAAAUCAAUAAUAAUUUCACUAUUUUGCUAACACUUUUUACAAUUACCCAACUUCAACUAAAUAAUACUUAUUUGAAUAUUUUUAAUAAAAAAAUAUGGAGAAUUACCGGAAUAUUAUAAACUGUGAAUGAAACUGGCCUUAAAUUAAUAAUUUAAGAUUUUCUGUUACCAAUUUUAGCAUAUCUCUAUUUAUUGUUAGGUACAAUUUUCGGAUUUAAUUUCUUGACUUUUAGUUAAAAUUGGAUUCAUUCAGAUUCAAGUUAAAUAGUCGGAGAAAACAUUAGCGAAAUCAUUGCAGAUCUGUAGAUGGAUGAUAAGAAAUACUAUGUUAUUGUUAAUUAAAAAAUUUUAUUUUCAUACUUGAUGCGAAUUAUUAAUUUAUUAUUAAUAAAAAUAAUAAUUUUUAAUAAUUGUUUUAAUUUAAGUGUUUAGAUAAAUUAAUGAUAAAUUUAUCAUUCCCAAACCUUGAUGCCAACUGCCCCUUUUAAUAAUAGCCUAGAUUAAGAUUUUUUUUUUUUUUUUCGUUUUCCUUUGCUUACGAAGUUAACCAUCGUUGGAAGCAAAGUGUCUAAAAUCAAUCGAUCAAUCAUGCGUUUCUUUCUCAAAGCUUUUUAUUUCCUUUAACAAAAGUGGGUGUGGCAUGUGGAUGUUGUCCCCAGCCCCAACCCUAGCCCCAACGUGUUACAUGACAUAAUUAUAUACGCCCGCACGCACCCUUACUACAGCUGUGGGAUGAUCCCGUCGCCAUGAAUGGUCUUAAGCACAUAGACACAGUACAGCUGCUGUUUUUUUUUUUUUUUUUUUUUUUAAGAAAUAGAUAACACGCUACUCGUUUCGUUUAUUUCAUUUAGAAAUAAACUUAGCUGGAGAUGUAAAUCAACUAGGAUUCGAACUUGGGUCUCGGAUACCAACCACCAAGCCUUUUGCCACUUGCUCUAGGGACGGUUCGUCAGUACAGCUGCCGUUGUGUUUCACAAUUGCUUCUGACGUGUGGGGCCCGUGUGCGCGUAACACAAUAAUCCAAUGAUAAAUAUUGAUUAAUUAAUAAUAACUACACCAUCAAUUUUUUUAUUCUCUUUUUCAUUUACCAUAUUGUAAUUUCUGUUUAAAAGCGAUGUUGUAGCUUCAUUGUUCUUUAUAUAAGGGUAUAUUUUAGGAUUGAGGAUGGAAAGGGUUAAGGAUAAUACAAAGAUGAUGAGAUGGAAUUGAAAUUAGGACAGAAUAUUGGACAUUUGAUAAUAAUCUAAUUUACUGUUCGGUGCUUUUAAGAUAACACCAAGGAUUAGAUCAUUUAAUAAAAAUUCAAUUUUUGACCUAAAUUUAAUAUUUAAUUUGAAUUGAGAUAUUGAAAUUUAAAUUCAAAUUUUCCUUUUGAAAUUAAAAGUCAAAAUCUGAUAUUAAAAUUUGAACUCAAAAAUAGUUGUAAUUUUGAUCGAGUUGAAAUUUAAAUCUGAAAUUUAAAUUUGGAAUUCGAUUUAAAACCUUACUUUUGAUUAAAUUUGAAUUCUGAAUUUGACUUUGAAAUUGCAAGAGAUUUCGAUUUCAAUUUUUGAAUUCUAAGAUUGAGAAUCGGAAUCAAGAUUCAGUCUAAAUUUGAAUUGAAAAUUUGAAUCCAAAAGAUAAAUUUGAAUUUGAAAUUUAAAUUCAGCAUAUAAAUUUGAAUUUAAAAUUACAUUCAAAUUUAAAUUUUGAAUUUGAAUUCGAAUCCAAAAAUCUAAAUCUGAAUUUGAAUUCAAGAAUCUGAAUUUCAAUUUGAAAUUCGAAUUCAAACGCUGAAUUAGAAUUUGAAAUUCAUUUUAAAAAUCUUAAAUUGACUCUUGAAGUUUGAAUUACAAAUCUGAAUUUAAUUUUAAAUUACAUUUGAAAUAUGAAAUUGAAUUUGAGAUGGGAUACCUCUAGUAUUUGGAAUAGUUAUAUAUAUAACCGACUAUAACAUUUUGGACAGUAGUUAAGUCCAAAAAAUUAAGAGAGUUAUCCGUAUUAGGGUUAUUGUAAUUUUACAACAGGUGACACCCAGGGAAGCGGUACGUCAUAGUUAGUAUCAGAGUUAAUCAUCAGUCAAAAGUAUGAGAUAAAUCUCGGUUGAGUUCAGAUCAUAUAGCGAACAGAGCUGUAUGUAUUAUAUUAGUCUCGGUUGAGAUAGGUUCAUACAACGGGCAAAGUGCAGCCUUCCGACUGACAAUCGUUGUGGGUGAAAUGUAGCUCCCCGCAUGAUCGGCUAAAACAAGUGAGACGAGUCUCGCAUCGCCUAAUAUUUGUGAGUGUACUUAAGUUAUGAGGAUGGGAAGGGCUUAAAAAGAGGAGGAAUGGGACACCCUUAGAAUUUGUAUUUUGUAAUAGUCCUAUAUAUGAGAUAUAAUAGGGUUUAAGGCUCUUAACCCCACUAUAGCACUUUAGAUAGCGGUUAGACCGAAGAAAUUAAGAAAAUUAAACAUAUUGGAGCUAGAAUAAUUCUAGGAUAAAUGACCCCCGGAGAAGCGAGGCGCCUCAUGAGAUUUGAAUUCAAAAUUUGAAUUUUAAUUCAAAAUAAAUUUAUAACCUGAGUUUGAAUUUAAAAUUCAAAUUCUAGAUCUGAAUUUGAAUUCAAAACUUGAAUAUAAAAUUUAAAUUUAAAUUUUUAAUUCAAAAUUUAAAUUUUGAUUAAAAUUUAAAAUUCAAAUUUUUUAAAUUUAAAUUUAUUUAAAUUUGAAGUUCGAAUAAAUGAAAUCGGAAUUUAAAUUUAAAAUUUGAAUCCAAAACUAUGAUUUGAAUUUAAAAUUUAAAUUCAAUAUCUAACUUUGAAUUUAAUACCGAAUUCAAAAUAUUGAAUUUAAAUUUAAAAUUUAAAUUUAAAAUAUGAUUAAGUUUAUAAUUCGAAUUAAAAUCCUGUAAUUAGUAGUAGUAUUUACAUUGAAAAUGUAAGAGUAAAAAGCUUGCGUGUCUAAUCAAAUCUAACCCUAAUCUCAAACCUUUAAUUAGGUGGGAUUAAUUAGUCCUCAAGGGACUAAUUUAGUUUAAUCCAGCAACUAUACCAAAGGUAGGACUAAUGCUGGACCGAAUUUUUCUAAAUCCAAUCCUCUUCUAAUAUCAUGCCUCUCAAGUAGUAGAGAACGACGUAUACUCAAAUUCUGCUAACUAUAAUUUCAAUGAAUCUAAUCUUGAACGAUCGUAUAUAUGCUACGGUGUGCAAUAGAGUACUCAUUCAUUAGACAAAGAAAAUCACCAAAAAUUAUGUGAUUGUUGUCGAGCCUAUUCCAAUUCCAACAUAUUACACUCGAACUACAAAUAUCACAAAAUAUAUUAUAUAAAUAGAAAAGAGACUCGUUCGAUAUCUCAAUAUUGAUUAGAUUUGAAAUCUAACAAUCAAAUUGCUCAUUUAAUAAGUAUUUUCAAUAUUAUGCCAUGACAAGGACUUGACCUCCACACUUUAUAGUAGUAGAUUUUGAGUCUGAUAUGUUGGUUUAAAUGGGCCAGCAUUUUGCCCUAUGACGGGUGGUCGGGUUGGACCGAGUCACGUUCGAAAUGGCGUGAGGUUGGGCAGACCGAGUCAUGUUCGAAGUGGCAUUAGGUCGAGUGGUCCGAGUCACAAUUGAAACUUGUGGGCGUUGUAUCUGUACGCUUUCAGUGAAUUAGUUGCGUAUUUCUAACAGCUCGAAAUUUUAGGAUUAAUGGUUAAUGCCAAUGAUCCGACAAGUGAUAUCAGAGCUAGAGGUCACAAGUUCAAUUCCCGUAUGCUGCAAAUGUGUGUAAGUUCUAGAAAGAGGAUUGUUGGCUUAAAUGGGCCAGUAUCUUACCCUGUGGCGGGAGGCCGGGUUGGGCCGAGUCACGUUCGAAAUGGCGUGAGACUGGAUAAGCCGAGUCAUGUUCGAAGUGGCGUGAGGCCAAGUGGGCUGGGUCACAAUUGAGACCCGUGGGUGCCUGUAUUUGUACGCUUUAAGUGAAUUGGUUGCGUAUUUCUAACAGCGCGAGCUUUUGGGAUUAAUGGUUAGCGCCAACGAUCCGACAUAACAUGUUUACCAUUUCACAAUGUUUUAAAACUAGGUUGAAUAACAAUUCAACAAUAUUAUCAGAUCAAGGAUUACUGAUUCAACUAGUGAAAAGUGGAUGUCGUAAAUAUUUAAUUAUUAUUAAAAUAUACAUAUAUUAUUAUUCUAGUAUCAUAAUUAACUAUAAAAUUAUGAUUUUUAGACCAAAUUAUAUAGAUGUAAGCCUUCAAGUUUUACUUUUAUAAAAUUAGUUUGUGCCUACAGAAAAUAAAAUCAGCUAAGUUGAGUUUAACUCGUUGGAUGGUAAUAUGACGUGAUAAAAAAAAACCUAGUCAAUUUCAUUAAAACAGGACUGGUUCACUAGUUCGAUGGUUGAAUCGCCGGCUCAAAUGGUUCAAAAUAAUUUUUUAACUUAUUCAGGUUAAAGAAUUGAACCGAAUCAUUUCAUAGAAUGAGAUACGGUCAAAUUGGUUGAACCGGUCAUUUCAACCGGAUUUUUAAAUCAUUGCCAUUCUACCCCAUUACAAAAAGCAAAUGAAAUAUUCUCCAAUAGCAAAAAGCCGUAAUCUUCAAUACCAAUGUUUAAAAAUCGGAUCGAGCUAGUCGGUUGGACCGGUAAAAAAUGCUUUCAACCGUUCGAACCGGCAAUCCAACAAUCAAAUUGAUAAAGAAAUCCGAUUUUAAUCAAGCCAGUUAAGUUUUUUUAUCAAGUUAUAUUAAAAUCCAACGGCUUAAAAUCCACUUAGCGAUUUUACUUUUUAUUAGUAUAGAUUAGUCUUAUAGGCACUGUUUGGUUAGGGGAUAGGGAUAGGAAUAGGCCCUUAUCCCUCCCUUUAUACCCAAACGCUAAUUUUUUAUCCGAGAAUAGUAGUUCUCGGUUAUCCCCACCAACACCUCCAUUUUCUAUAUAAAACUUCCUAAUAUUUUUCUUAUCCUCGGGAACAACCUAAUUUUCAUCCAAACGCUAUUUUUCUUAUCCCCAUACUUGUACCUAUACCUGUAAUAGCUAGUUCUUGCUUAUACCCGAACCAAAUGGUACCAUAAGAUGUGAAAUUUGAAAACGUAUAUCUACUUAAUUAAAAAUAAUAAUUAUAUAUAUAUAUAUACUUGCGAUGUGAUACUCACGUUCAAUUCUUAACUAUUCACUGAUUGAACUAGUGACUUUUGAUCUAAUAAUAUUUUCGGAUGAGUUCGUGUGUAAAUUAUUGUUUUUUUUUUUUUGAGAGAUAGGUAGCACGCUAUCCGCUUUGUUUAUUUCAUUUAGAAAUAAACUUAGCUAGAAAUGUGAAUCAACUAGAAUUCAAAUUUGGGUCUCGAAUACCAACCAUCAAAUUUUUUGCCACUUGCUCUAAAGACGGUCGGCAAAUUAUUAUUAAAUACAUAAGCGUAUACUAGUACUAGUACUAGUGCUAGUACUAGUUUUGAAGGUUUUAAAUUCAUGGACAGGUGUCACGCCACAACGGAGCGUUGCGCCGAAGGAAUCUUGCAAACGCCCACAGGGGCCAACAAAACAAAUAAUUUUCCUUACUUUAUAAUAAAGUCAUGGUCUAAAAUAAUGAUGCCCUCCUGAUUAUUAAUUAAAGAUCACACGUUAGUAAGAGAAUAGGAAAGGAGAGCGCUUAAUUAAUUAUAUGCCAACUCCGUCGAUCCGUUCCGUGAGUGGAGCCCCUUCCCCCUCUUAUUAUCUGUCUAAUCUUUCGAUGAUCUUUAUGCCCCAGCCCGCCGCGAAAGCAGGGGCCGCUGUGGUGGUGGUGGUGGUGGGGAUCCGCGCCCACUUUACAUGGCACGUGCGAGCUUGUGGGCCCGCCCUAGGCACGUGUAUGCACGGAGCCAGAUGAAGGUUAUCGGGAUCUGGGCAGGAACCAUGUGCUGCGUGGGGCCCACAUGAAAACCCUCCCCACCCAUCUCUCUCCCCCGCCCCCCUCUCUCUCUCUCUCUCUCUCUCUCUCUCUCUCUCUCUCUCUCUUCCUUUACCAGUUACCUCCCUUCUUCUGGGUGAGUGUACCUCUGCAGCUCCACUUCGGCGUUCUGGUUGUAUGUUGUUUGGUUAUAUAUGGCGUUUUUGGUUGGAUGUUGUUGGUUAUAUAUGUUUAACUAGUUUAUUAAAAUUAACAUAUAUAACUAGUUUUUAUAUCCUCCGUGCUUCGUGGCGGAUCCAUAAUAUUUCAGUAAAACAACAUAUAUAAUUAUUAAAAUUUAAAAUUUAGAAAAUUUAAUAAAAAAUAAAAAAAAUUAUAUAGCCUUCUAUACUGCUAAUCUUUUUUUGAUUAAUAUUUUUUAGCUUUCAGUAUUUGUAGAGUUAGAGUAUUCUAGUAACUUCACUUAAAAAUUCAAUCAAACUUAGUAUUUUUAGUAGCUAUUCUGUAAAUAAAUUUUUAAUUAAAAAGUUAAAAUUGGAGGACUUAUUCUGAAUUAUAAAUAUAUGAUAUUAUUCUUAUCAAGUUAACAUUGAUUGGAGAAAGAAGAAAAUUAUUAUAUACACCUGGUGUAUAUCAACACACCAUACACCACAACUUAUAUUAAAUGACUAAUUUCUAAUAUCGAAACUUAAUUAAAUAUAUCUAAAUUACAAAGUCUAACAAUUUAAAUAUAUUUACUUAAUUAAAUUUUAAAAUAUCUAUUCGAUGUUUUAAAUAUGUGGUGUAUGUUUUUAUAUACAUCUUGUAUAAAGAAUGCUUAAUAGAGUGCAUUCAUAAUUCCAAGAAAAUUAAAGAGGAAAAAUCUUUACUUGCACCUAAUGUAUACUAAUAUUUCAUACACCAUAAAAGCAUAUUAGAUAAUUGAUAGAAUAUCUGAUAAUCUGAUAAUUAGUAUUAAAGAUUUUUGUGAUGUGAUGGAACGGCCAAAUUAUAUAUCUUACAGAUUUUGAAAUAUUAACAAUAAAAAAGGUUUGGUGUAUAUGAUAUUUUAAUAGAUCGGGUGCAUGCAAUAUUGUUGAAGUAGAGAAGGGAGAGAAAAGAGAACACAUGUUGCUCUGAGGGCUUAUGAUAUGACCCAACUGUCAAAUUAAUAUAUCUACUAUAGAUAGAUAAUUAUUAAAAUUUUAAGAUAAAAAAUUAUAACUAAAUAAAAAAAAUUAUAAAAUAGUGUUAUGUACAUUAAAAAAUAACUUUUAUAUUAAUAUUUUCUUAAUUUUGAAGAGUUAUAUUAUUUUAACAAUAUUAUUUAUAAAUUAAUCAAAUUUAAUAGUUUUGAAAACUGUUAUAUAAAUAACUUUUUUUAACUAAAAAUGUAAAAUUGAGGAACUUAUUUCAAAUUGCCGAAAAUGCGAAGAUGUCUUUACCUUAUUCAAAUUGAUUGAAAAUUUUUUUUCUUAUAUGCGCAUGAUAUAUAGUAACAUUUUAUACACCUCAACUUAUAUUAGAUUAUAAAUAUUUUGAUAUCAAAACUUAAUUAAACAUAUAUAAUCUACAAAGUUAAUAAUUUAAAUUCUAUUUAAAUUCUAUUUAAUGAAUUAGAUUUUAAAUAAAAAAUAACGAAAAAAAGAGUCGAAGAAUCAAAAAAAUACAAAUAAAGAAAUUUAAAAUGAAACAAUAGCUACUACAGUAAAAAUUUAAGAAGUAUAAAAAAAAAACUAUAAGAAGAAUUAUAUUUAUAGCAGUAGUAAGAGUUGAGAAUUAAAAUAUCAUAUGUCUCAUAAUUUGAGUAAGAAAUUACAACUAAUUAACAUUUAAGAUCUUAAAUAUUGUGUUCCUUUUUGAAUAUUUCAAAAGAUUCUGAAUGUAAAGUUGAUUGCCUAUAAAAGUAUAAGCAUAGUAUUGAAGUUUAAUAUUAAAACCAAAUGUAUCAUUUUGAAUCAAUUAUUUUAAUUUUCAAUUUUUUUUUUAUUAUUAAAUUUUUUAAUUUAUUUGAUUUGAGUCGAUCAACAAUAUUUUGACUUUAAAUUUUGAACGCGUCAUUUAUUUUUAUACAUUCAGUUAAUAUAUUUUAUGCAAUUAUUGUAAUUUUAAAUUUAUUAAAGUAAGUAAUUAAAUUAAACUCUAUCAAUAUCUAUUUUAAUUUUAUUGUACAAGUUAUUUUUAAGUGAUAAAUAUUGUAAAAUUAAAAUUUAUACUCAACAUAUGUAAUUUUAGUUAUAUAAAAAGUUGUGUAAAAACUUGUAGAUUAUAUAAUUUAAAUUUUAGGAGAGAAUGAGAGGAAUGAGUUGAAAAAAAAAGGCCCACUACCCCGAGAGAGAGAGAGAGAGAGAGAGAGAGAGAGAGAGAGGAGAAUUAGUGGGAAAAAAAAUCCUGCCCGAGCCACCCAAUCGCGCCCGCUCGCUUGCGCUAGAGCGUGACCUCGGUCGGCGUCCGCUCGUGCCCCUCGCGUGCGCCUGUGCCCCUUACAUGCGCCCGCCGACACCGCGCGAGACCUGCGCCCCUCACACGCGCCCACGCCUGCCCGCGCCCGACCCGCCCGUGCUGCCAUGAUAAGAACUCAACUUUUAUUAUAUCUAUAGAUCCUGGCUUAAUGAAAUGACCAAUUUGAAUAAAAAAUCUAUUAAUUUUAAAAUUUUGUAAAUAUAGAUUGUUUUUUAGAUUUACAAAUUUGAACUGAGUUAUAGAAAAUUGACCAAAAUACUCUCAUUCUGUUUUCUUUCUUUUUUUUUUUCUUCUCUUGUUCUUCUUUUUUUCUCUUCGACCCUCCUCCAUCACUACCGCGGCCCUCAGUGACAGUAACGAGGGCAUCACCGCGUCCUAUUCCUCUGCUUUAGCUGGCACCGAUGCCGGCACCAGAGGUAGAGGAUUCGGAGUGAGUGCGAGUGAGAGUAGAGCUGAUGGAGGUGAUGAGGUAGUGGCUGCAACGGUGCUUGUUGUCGCCUGUGAGGGUGAGAACGAAGAUGCACCCCGCACUUCUUCGAGGAGAGCUUUCAGUGAGGGUGGUGCUGCAGUGGAGGGUGAAGGAGAGAUCGCGAUAGCGAAAAAAAAUGUAGACGACAGAAAAAAAAUAAGAAAAAUAAUGAAUAAGAAAUAGUAAAGAAAAAUAUUUUUUUUUACAAAAGAGGCGAAGAAACAGAGAAAAAAGAAGAAGAUGAUGAAGUUGCACUGUUAAGAUGAAGUUGCACUGACAGAAGAAUUCUGCACUGUUUUAGAUGAAAGUUAUACUAUUUGAGAAAAAAAUUAUAUUCUUUUAGAUGAAAGUUAUAUUUUUUGAACGAAAGUUGUACUAUUUAGGCAAAAGUUACACCAUUUCUCCUCCUCCUUCCCCUGCACUUCCUCCUGCUUUUUCUGCACCCAUCUUCUUUUCGCCCUUCAUUUCCACCGUAGCAGAUCCGCCACCCACCAAACCCACUUAUGGAACUCGCUAUCCUACCGCCACUGUUGACGACACAGAGGAAACGCUUCUUGGCACUAAAAAUCUCGCUGGCGUGGGAGAGGGACGUAACCCACGACAUCCACUCAGGGACAACGACGUAUGCGGUGGAGACGGAGAAAAGCGCAAUGAUGCCAAAGAAGAGGGUGGGCGAGGAGAGCAAAGUUUAGGGGUUCAGCAUCGCCGCGCUUUCCUCCGUCUUCACCAUGUGCUUCGCCAUCCCCGGGUGGGUGCCGUGGGCCACAUACCCUCAUCCUUGCCGGCGAGCUUCUCGGCGCCGAGAAGUGCUUCAUCUUCAUCGCCGACGAUGGCAUUAGAGACGGUGGGUUUCCAUAAGUGGAUUUGGUGGGUGGCAGAUCUACUGUGAUGGAGGUGGAGAGCGUAGAGGAGAUGGGCGCAGUAGAAGCACAAGCAAGCGGAAGGAAAGGAGGAUAAGAAAGAGAAAAAAUAGUAUAACUUUCGCCCAAAAAGUGCAACUUUCAACCAAAAAGUGUAAUUUUUGUCUCAAAGAAUGUAACCUUCGUCUAAAACAGUACAAUAUUUUUCUCAAAUAGUGCAAUUUUAUCUAAACAGUGCAACUUCAUCAUUAUCUUCUUUUUUCUCUAGUUCUUCGUAAUUUUUGUAGAACUUUUUUUUUAACUUUUCUUUAUUUUUUUAUUUUUUAUUUUUUCUACUAUUUGCAUAUUUUUUCUAUCGCGAUCUCUCCCCCGCCCUCUAUUGCAACCACCGCCCUUGACGGAAGCACUCCUCGGAGAAGAGUGGGUGCGUUUUCGUCCUCACCCUCACAGGUGACAGCGAACACUACCUUGGCCAUGACCUUAUCGCCUCCAUCGCUUCACUCUCACCUUUGCUCGCUCCGAGUCCUCCUCCUUUGGCACUGGCGUAGGUGCCUGCAUCAACAAACGCGAAGGAAGAGGAUGCGGCGCUGCCAUUGUUACCGUUGCGAAGGGCCGCGGAGGCAGUGGAGGUGGAGGAAGAUGGGAGAGCGAAAAAAAAACAAGGGAAAAAAAGGAGAGAGAAAAGGGAAAAAGAGUUUUUUUUGUCCAUUUUUUUAAAAUCCGAUUGGACUAUGCAAAAUUCAAAAAUACAGCCUAUUUUUGAAAAAUCUCAAAAUUAGUAAUUUUUUAUGCAAAUUGGCCUAAUUAAAUCCCACCAUAUUAUUUUUUAGUGUUAUUUUUAUUUAUUAUACUAUAAAUAGUUAAAAAGAUGCUAUUAAACUAUUAAUCAAUUUCUAUAUAUAUACUAUGGUAUAGAUUUAUUUUUAAUUACUAUCUUGUAUAUAUAUAUAUAUAUAUAUAUAUAUAUAUAUAUAUAUAUAUAUAUAUAUAUUUCUAAAAGACAAUACUAAAUAAUUGUUUUCUUAUUGGUCUCUAUAUUAUAACCAACAAAUUUAUUAUUUUAGAUAAAAAUUAAUUGUUGGCGCCAUAAAAGUGACGCCACGUGGCAAACCGACUUACACCACAUUGAAGGCUUUUGGAGCCAAACGCAGAACAACACGUGGUGUGGCAAGAACUGGGGAGCACACGCCCAAAACCGAAAAUUGGUCGGGCAAGAUGCGGUUGAGAUCAGCCAAGAGUAGCCCAUAGAUUUAGUGACAUGGCUGGGACACACCCCAUAAUGGAGAAUAACUGAAUAACGGUGGGCGAGACUAUAAAUAAAUAGAAUACGCCUGCAAAAAGGGUCAUUUUCCCCUACAAACAAGAGACCAUUCUAUUUUCAGCAUUUUUCUGCUUUUCAAAAGUAGUUUACUUGUAAUCUUCACUUUCCUUGCACUUUCUACUUUUAUAGGAGUAGUUUGUUAAGAUAGAUUUUCUCGUUUAGGUAGUAGAUUUUACAGUAUUCCUAAGCGGGACUUGUCACAUGUACAUUUUCUUUUUAUUGAAAUAUAUCAAUGUCACUCGACUCAUCUCAGCCAAGUCAGUAAUAUAAUAGAGUGUACGAACUCGGCUGAGUGGAUCCCUCAUCAGUCGAUCGCUUGAUUUUGUCUGUGGCAUAUUUUGAGGGUCACCAACAAGAGUCAUCUCAUCACUUGACUCGCUUCCCGGAGCAGAGUUAGGCCAAGGCAAUGGUCUUGGAAUUUGGCUCUCAACAAUUUUUCCCACUCUCAGUGGGACACAUAUAAGUAAUUCCUUAAUUUUUUCUUUAUCUUAUGACUGACGAUAACACUAUGAACCUUCGGAAUAGAGUCAUUUCCAGGCCUUCAGGGAAUAACAAAGUUAAUAGCAUUGAAAAUGCGAACGAGUAUCAGAUAAUGCUACCAGUGGAAGGUGAGACUAGCGGACAUUCAGCUUAUCAGGAGCCGAAUCUAACUCAAGCACUCGGCUAGAUAACCCGAGUCUUGCAAAUUCUAAAUCAAAAUAGUCAUCAAAGCACUGCGUGACUAGACACAGUGUUGGUCGCAAUCAUGGCCUUCAAUAAAUAUAUUGCCCGAAUAGGGUAGCUGUUAGUGCGCAAUGAGCAACCUUAUGGAGGUCUACAAGGACCGCCAACAAUGCCAAUGCCACAAGAUCCUGUUACACCGGCAGUCGCACAAGCGCAACCCCAAACCACACCGUUCCAAGUUGCGUAUAGACCGGGGAACUGUCACGCCACAAGGCCUAAAGCAGUGCCUUCUUUUUUUUUACAAAUCAGAGUUACGAAAAUAUAUAUAUAUAUAUUUUAAAAAAUAGCCUGACCCACGUGACGUACAGACCUGUAACAAAUACAAAGUUCUUCUGCCCACACGGACAGAGUCUUCUUUAUAUUUGCACGGCGUACCCUACGAUAACAAUAAUAGGAUCACAACUCACAACCUACCUUCACCAAUCCACAAGCAAUUGAUGCGAUGCAAUUCCAUACAGCUAGCCAUCCUUAAAGAUGAUGUAUCCCUCUAAACACUUCUUAGGCGUUGGAUGAUGCUGUAACAUACCACAUCCCUCGUAAAUCAUGCCGAGUUCCGUCAAAACGAGCGGAACGCGGAAUUGAACGAGUUAGAAUGGACCCUGAGCACAUUAGGGCUCAUAGGAGAAGCAAAAAGGGAUCCGAGAGAGAGAAUCAGAAAAUCUGGUUAAGUCCCAGAUUUUGUGCUCUCGGGGACCGGUCCCUGAAGGAGAGACCGGUCCCCGUACGCGUAGCCUGCCAAGAAGUCUUGAGGCAACCGGUCCCUGGUGGUGAGACCGGUCCUCGGGAGACCAGUCCCUGAAGGGGCAGACCGGUCCCUCGCUGCGCAACAGCCAAAAUACCCGAAAAUUUGGCUAAGUCCUUGAACACCCACGUUUGCGAACCGGUCCCUGGUCGGGGAGACCGGUCCCCGAAGGCGAAAAAUGCCCAGUCUGGGCAGAUCAAGGGGAAACAAGUUGAGGGGUUUAAAUGCAAUUGUCACAACACUAUAUGUGGACACCCCUCUCUCUCCCACACCCAUUUUCACCCUUCUCUCCCAUUUCCUCUCUUCCUCUCUCUAGAACUCUUGCUCUAGGGCUUGGAGAAGAAGAAGAAGGAGCAAGGGAAGGUGGAUUUGGAGGCUUUGGUGGGUUCUACAAGCUCUCCUACAAGAAGGACUUGGAGGGCUUGGGCUAAGGUGAGUUUUUGGUAGAAAUGAGUCUAGGGCUUGGUUUUAAUCCCUAUGUUUUGGAGCUUUGGAUUGUUUUUGGCCAUGGGAGCCUUCUAUAUGCCUUGAACUCCAUGGAACCCAUGAGAGCUCAAGUACUCUCAUGGUGGUUGGGUAGGGUUUGUCAUGGAAGCCCUAGGGUUGGUUCCAAGGGUCUAGAAACCUUACUAGGAUGCUUCUUAGAUGAUCCUAAGCUAUUGUUUGCUUAAGGUUGGGAUCGAUUCAUGGGAAAACCCUAAAUGACAAUAUUAGGGCUUGAAUUUGGGGCUUUUGCUCUAGGAUUGUUCGGGGACAAAUUGACCUCGUGGAAACCUAAUUGGGGGUGCCCUAAACACGUUGGGCAACUUCGUUUAACAUUACAAAAAUGAUAGAGUAUAGUCCAUGUACAAAAGGCCUAAUAUGGCACCGUUUUGAUUAUAGGGUGCGGAAGCGGCUUUUGUAAAACCCGGGAGUUGUCAUAUACUUCACCCACACGAUUACUAGAGAUGGGGGGUGCACGCCGGAAUCGUUGGAUUCCCUUCUAUGUCUGUUUUCUGUACUCUUGAGCAUAUAUGUAUAGAUAUACCCAUUCAUGCAUAGUAGGGUAGAUACAUGUGGAACUUGGUUUGACUUCAUUUAUAUGUUCCUAACGUAGUUGAACAUAGUGGACGAUAGAACCAAGAGGACAUGUGUGAUUGGACCCUCAAGUUGUGUGAAUGUGAGGUUGGACUUGGACAAUAGAAAACAAGGGUGACAUUGACAUAGAAACAAGAUUGGCAUUGAGAAAUAAACCGUUAAAUCUAGUUUAACCAAAUUAUGGCAUCAUCACGGAUAUGGCCUUGAGAGUGGCAAGAAUGAAUAGGUAGAGACCUACCAUGACAUCGACAUUGUGACCAGUGGCUAUGAAUCCUCAAGUUGGGGAUUAGAUCGAUGCUCACAUUACGUCUUGGCUUGAGGGAGGUCGCUCCCUCUCGAGCGGUGCGCUCCGAAGUUGGUCACCACUGGGCGAGGUAAAGUCCCACCAGUUGACGGUCCCUAGGGAGGUUCGAGUCCCCCGUUAUUAAGGAAUUUUGGGUUGUGAGUUAUUGGGGUUAACAGAGUUAACCGGUAAGAUUGGGUAAGAGCCAAAGCUUGAUUAUGGUUGGAGCAUGCAUGCAUUUCUAUUAUCGCAUUGAAAUUAUAUAUCUACUAACUUCUUUCUUGCAGGCAUAGUAUUAGUUGCAUUAGUAGUGGUUACUUUUCCUCCUUUGAAAUACUUAUGCCUGGAUGGACCUAGUGGGUAAGUCGGCGAGGUCAGAUGCCGAGCCCACUGGGAACUUCGUUGUAGUUCUCACACCACUAACCCUACAGGUCCUAGCACGAGCGGGGCGGCGGAGGACCGAGGCAAGGGUUUAGCGCCGUAGGUAGCGGCCACCGGAGUAGCAUUAUAUUUUGUAGUUAUUUCCCUUUUGGUGUACAUGUAGCAGCUUUAUUUUGUUGAAUUAGAGAUGUAAAGUUGUAAACAAUCAUGUAUUUGGUGGAUGACUAAAUGUAAAAGAUAUGAUGGUUGAAUGGAAUGUAAUAGUUUCGUUUACUUGAAUUUGGUUUAAAUGAAAUCAAAUAUCAUGUGUGAUGUAUAUUUGGCUUAGAGCUUUCGUUUUCGUUGUGGCUUGCCCUCGCGCAAGCCUUGUAUUAUAUAUGCAAUUCUCUUGUUGAUUGCCUAUUUAUACAUGUUGUUAGAGCCUUGGGCGAACAGGAGAGGCUCUGUCCGUUCGGCGUCUAUUGACGUGACCCGAACCCGACCAAAUUGGCGGGGAUUGGGGCGUGACAGAUGCGAUGCACAUUACAACAAUCAUCCUAUUCAAAAGUACUCCCCACCUGGAAGCUUUAUUUUUAAACUCUAUUUGUUCAUCCAUAAAAAUCAUUCGAAAUUCUUUUAAAACUGUUUCCCACACGAAAACUUAAUCUUCGAAAACCGACUACCUUGAGAGGUAGGAAACCACAACGCAUGAAUACAUAAAUCCAAAUACCAAAGAUUCGUAAAACUUCGAUUACAUGCAUAAUAGAAAACACCAACUCAUACAAGUUCACGAUUAUUCAAGCAAUAACAGUGAUCAUCUAACAGAACCAUUUCAUUAUUUGAACUAUUAAAUACGAAAAGAAAAAUAAUUAGGGUGACAACUGCUAAUGCAGUCUAGCUAGGACGUCCUCCCGACGCGCCAAGAAUCAAUUCCUCACUCGUGUCACCUGGGGAAAUAAGGGGGUGAGAAACCACAACAAGGUUAAUUUUCCACUGGGUACUAUAGAGCGACAAAGGCAAAUCGUAUUCAUUGAAAAACAAAGGAGAUAGAACAACAGGUAUACAUGAAUAUGACAUGAUACAUAAGCGAACAACAGUAGUAAUAUAAACAGGAUAGUAAAUGAGCAACAACCAAACUACUACUGUAACAGAAACUCAACUGAACAGAUGCCUCAAGGAUAAAUAAUCCAAAUAAAACUCAAUCUGGUGCCUGCCAUAUUGGUCCGCAGACCUCGAGCGUUGUCUGUCACAAUGCAUACACUAACCUGAUUCACGUGUCCACUGACGACCUAUCCGGAUAAGUAUACCCUGGUCGGUGGCCAAAUCGACCUGGUGUCUAGGAAUAUACACAGUGCUGUGAGUAAAUCAUUCUGAUAUGCUCAAUGCGAAAGCCGACAAAAAAUCGGUGCCUUGGCCGAAGCCAGAUAUAAGGGCGUACGACGCCGAACCAUGAUCAACCAGAUCGAGACACACGACAAAAGAGUCGAUGUAUUGCCUAGACCCGAGGUCCACAUAUAUACUGUAAGGAAGUGAAUUCUCGAAAUCUGAGAGUUGGACUUCGUCCAGGAUUGAUUACUUAUCGAGUGGGUACCCUUCGAAAAAGCCGAAGAUGUCUAAAACCCAAAAAGUGCAUUGGAGUUGAGUCUACGAGAGCAAAUAGUGCAAAAUCUGCACUUGGCAGAUUCUGCUCUCGGGGACCGGUCCCUGGCGGUGGGGACCGAUUCCCGUAAGCAGGAAUUCUGGCAGAGAAGGGUCUGCGCAAAUCUGCUCUCGGGGACCGGUCCCUGGAAGGGAAGGACCGGUCCCCGUAGCUGGUGGUUGCGGAGGACCCGUGAUGCAACCGGUUCUCGGCCAGAAGGGCUGGUUCCCGUACACGUAAUCUGGCUGAAGGCUCUCGGGGACUGGUUCUCCCGUUGAGGGAUCGGUCCCUCCGCGCAAAAUCUACCAAGGCAUAGCAACUUGAUAGAGGUAAAGUUGAGGGGCUUGGCUGCAAUUAUGCCCUAGUUAGAGAGUAUAGAGAGCAAAGGGCUCUCUCUCUCUCUCAUUUCCACCCUCACACUCUUUCUCUCCCUCUCUCUCUCUAGAAAGAAAAGAAGAAGGAGAAGGAAGGAGAAGAAGAAGAGGAAGAAGGAGAAGGAAAGAAAGGUGGAGAAGAAGAAGGAGAUCAAGGAAAAGGCCUUGGACACCUUCACCUCCCUCUCCUCUCCCCUUUGGUGUAGCUUAAGAGGUAAGCUACUAACCCUAGCAUGGUAAAACUUAGGGUUUUGGGUUUUUGGCUUUUGAGAUGAGGUCAAAUGGACCUCUAACACCCUUAAUGAUGGAUUAGAGCUAGAAUCUAGGGUUCUAUGGUGCUAGUUGCAUGGUGUAACCCUAGGGCUCCAAAUUGGUGGUCUUUAAUAAAUGAUGAGAUUGAUCUCAUUUGAUAGCUUGUAAACCUAAUUGAUAGGUGUCUAAACGCGAGGGCGAAGUCGGAUUUUCGAUUCGUUUAGCGGGUGAAAAGCUAUCGGUGAAAUAUAGCCGAUUGAGCACCGUUUUGGACCAAGGAGGCCGAGACAUCGUCGUAACAUUCGUUAGGGAGCGUUUCUAGAACCUUCGUACCCUCAAAAGGUGGGGGGUGUUGUCCCGAAGCAACCGAGCUCUUUUCUAUGUCUUAGAAAUACAUGAAUUUCAUCUCUUGCAUGUUGCAUUGUAGGAUUGCAUUGUAGUACCUUAUCCUUAUGCUUCUAAAUGUUAACCUAGUGUGCAUGGAAUACUUGGUAAAAUGGAUAGGUAAGGAUUGGGUCGGAACAUGGAUCCUAUAGUGCCAAAAGAAAGAGAUGAACUCGAUGGUUAUUCAGUGACAUAGAGAGUGGCAUUAAUAUAGUGUACUUGACACUAGAGGUUUAUGAACUUAGGGAUAGGUGGAUUCCCUAGUAAAUGACUCGUGAACAAUGAACUUAGUAUAGCUAAGUAAUUAUGCAUGAAUGUCGGAAUAGAUGAGUUCCGAGAGAAUGUUGGCCCUAGUUUGUAGGAUAUCCUCACGUGGAGAGGAUAGAUCAAGCUCACGGUCUGUUAUUUGGGGUGUUAGAGCCAUCCAUAUCCUCACAUGGAGAGGAUUUGUCGUCGAAUACUUCGGAGUGUCGGGCGAUUAGGACAGAGUUGAUGUCCACAGACAGUCCCGGGUUCGGGGGCACAUGGAGUCUCCUUACCCUAUGGGAUGGAUAUGUGAGGGUAGGCAAAUCCAAGGGUUUCGCCACAGAUUGGGUAAAUGAAAAGUUAAUAUUGUCAUCGAACAUUGCUUAUCGAACAUGGAUCGAACUUGUUAGCAUAAUAGUAAACUUUUACUAAAUGAUGCAUGCAUUCAUUUCACAUGAUUAUGGGCAUAGUAGCAUAGUUUUCCUAUUAUGUCUUUACAGCUUUGAUAUACAUAUAUCUAUCUGUUUCGUUGUUACUUUUGCCCACUUGGACCUAGUGGGGAGAUCGGCGGAGUCGGCGGCCGAGCCCACUGGGAACUAUGGAAGAUAGUUCUCACCCCACUUUAUUUCCAGGGCUAGGUACAGGUUUGUCGGGCGAGGGCCACGGCAAGGGCAUCGCGCUCGACCAAUAAGGAUUAUUGGUAGAGUAGUAGUUUUCCUUUCGCAUUAGCACACCUAUGUAUUUGAGAGAGAUUCAUGUAGGUGAGGACUUUGGAGGGCUAUGUACUUGAUGAGCAUGUAUUCAUUUUGGGAAAGAAAAUGUAAUCGUAUAAGGAAUGCAAAUGUGAUGUAAUAGUUAGUAGUUCUCUCUUUAUUUCACUUGUGUAUCUUGUGGAUUACUUUCUCUUCGUUGUUGGCACUAUUUGUGCCCCGUUGAUCGUGUAUGUACGAAUUUAAUUUUUUGGAUAAAUUCUUGUACAUAAUCAGGUUGUGAGCCUUGGGCGGGCAGGGGAGUUGCUGCUCGUUCGGCGUUCGUUCGCCGCGCCCGAACCAUGCCAAAUUGGUAGGGGUUUCAGGAUGGGGCGUGACAGUAUGUGGUAUCAGAGUGAUAACAGCAAGUAAAGAGAGAAAGUCUAAGAUGACCUAGAAGACCCUAGGUUGGUAAACCCUAAGGCUAUAGGUGCGUGAGUGGAACGUGAACCUAUACCGGUGGCAGAAGUGAUUCAAUUGGGUCGAAAUUAAAGUUGUGUCUCUAGUAGCGACUAGAGGUAGAUUCAAGUUGUGUGAGUUCUUGUCGUAAGGUGGUUGUGUUGGCGGCCGACGACAUGAUACCGAGAGUCUAGAAUGAGUACGCUUGUGUGCUUCCUCCCGAUUUUUUUGUUGUUGGGUCGUUAUGUGCCGUAGUCGCGACAAAGUAAUCGAGUUAAGAUAAUUAACCAAGUAAUUGCGUUUCAGGAGCAAAUGGCACCAAGGGGACGCCCAAGUAUGAGAUCUACUCCGGCACCGCCUCCUGAGGUGCCCGAGCAUGCUGAACCGAGUGUGAUGGAUCGGUUGCAGGCGCAAGUGACCGCAUUGACCAAUGUGGUGCAGCGCCAGGAGAGCCAUUUUGAACGACUCCAGGAGCUCUUAGAGCGGCAAGCUGCGGUGGCGGCUGCAACGGCGACGGGCGAGCGUGAUGUACCCGCACCUCAACUCGUGUACCAAAAGCGGUGGAGGGUGAGGGUAUAGCGGCGGUUCCGGUGACGUCACGUCCACCGCCGGCAAUUGUUCCUCAGGCGGCGUCGGGAUCGGCGACACCCGAUGUGACGGCCGAAGACGUGGAAGGAGAGCGCGCGUUGGCUGCUCUUAUCAAGUUCAAGAAGUUCAACCCGCCCAUCUUCGAAGGGGAGAAGGUGGAGCCAGCUAUGGUCGAGUCUUGGAUCGACUUGAUGGAGACUCUCUUCGAAGAUUUGCAUACCUUGGAGAGAGAUAGGGUGUAUCUCGCCACCCAUUGCUUGGAGAAAGCGGCGAAGGUCUGGUGGAAGCGCGUCAAACGGGAUCGACUUUCCGACCUUCCGCCGAUGCUGUAGGAGGAGUUCAAGAGGGCGAUGUUCGCCAAUUAUUUCCCCGACACAUUGAAGCGGAAGCUCCAGGAGAAGUUCCGCAAGUUGGAGCAAGGGGACCGCUCAGUAGCGGAGUAUAAGCAAGAGUUCUCCUACAUCAUUAACUGUGUCCUGGAUGUGGUACGAGAUGAUCGGGACCGGGCUGACUGGUUCUUACGAGGACUUCGGCCGGGGAUCUAUAAGGCCGUGCAUAUACUUAAACUCACGACCUUCGCGGAGGUCUUCGACCGAGCACUCUGAGCGGAGCAUGGUGACGCCCAUGUUCGGGAGAAGCGUGAGAUGUUGGCCGAGUCCAAGGACAAAGGCAAGAAGCGUCAAGGCGGCGGUUCGGGAGGACAAGCACGUUCCAAGAAGCCCCCGAAGUAUCCGCGGACUCAGCCAAAGGGCAGUGGAGCACGACGAUGCGUCAUAUGUGGUGGAGACCACCCGGUGUCGCAUUUUGACCAGCGCCAAGGCAAGUGCUACAAGUGCGGGCAACCGGGGCACUUCAUACGAGAUUGCCCGGGAGGAGGAGCCUCACAUGCCCCGUCCACUGCAUUGGCGCCGGCAAUUCCGGCCCACUAUAGAGAAGUUCCACCGACGGCCGUGUCGGCGGGACGUGCGAUGAUGCCGCGCCAGCCCGAGAUGGCGCGAUCGGCCCCGAGCGGACGGGUGUUUGCCGCUCAAGUGCAAGCCGAGGAGCCUGCGAAGGCGGAGGAGCAUCGCCUUGUGGCAGGUAUGAUUUUAAUUAAUGGAGUUCGCUUCAGGGCUAUGUUUGAUACAGGAGCUAUGCAUUCAUUUAUCAGUAGAUCAUUCGCACGCAUGUAUGACAUACUCAUAGAGGCGAGUGACAAGUGGCGAGUUGAGGGCCCUGGGUCGACAUUUAAUACCUACACGGAAUGCUCAUCGUGUCCAGUACAAGUAGGUGACUGGAUAAUGCCCAUUAGGAUGGUAGAGCUCAAGAAUCAGUUCGAUGUCAUAUUGGGCAUAGACUGGCUCUCGAAGUAUCACGCAACGAUCGACUGCAAGAGCAGAGUGAUUACAUUUCGUGAGCUAGGACAGAAGGAGUUCAUUUAUCGGGCUUGUCAGAGCUCGUGCUUCCCCGCGACGGUAUCGGCGACGACAGUAAGAAAGUUGGUCAACAGCGGUUGCGUAGCGUUCUUGGCAACUGUUGUAGAAGUGGAUCGAGUGACUCCCACUUUGGAGGAGUUAUCGGUAGUGUGGGAGUUUCCGGAUGUGUUUCCCACGGAGUUACCGGGGAUACCGCCGGAUCGGGAGAUCGAGUUCGUCAUAGACUUGAUUCCCGACACUGCACCGAUUUCGAAGGCUCCGUACCGAAUGGCGCCGGCGGAACUGAAAGAGUUGAGGAGUCAGUUACAGGACCUCCUCUACAAGCAAUUUAUUCGGCCGAGUGUAUCACCGUGGGGAGCCCCGGUGUUGUUUGUGCGAAAGAAAGACGGAUCGUUUCAACUCCGUGUGGAUUAUCGAGCGUUGAACAAAGUCACGAUCAAGAAUAAGUACCCACUUCCCCGAAUCGAUGAUUUGUUCGACCAGUUGCAGGGGUCGUGUGUGUACUCAAAGAUAGAUUUACAGUCUCGCUACCACCAACUGAAGAUCAAGCCGAAAGAUGUGCAGAAAACUGUGUUUCGCACGCGGUAUUGGCACUAUGAAUUCACGGUCAUGCCAUUUGGACUCACGAAUGCUCCAGCGGCGUUCAUGGAUUUGAUGAACCGUGUCUUCAGGAAGUAUUUGGACCGAUUUGUCGUGGUCUUCAUAGACGACAUAUUGGUCUAUUCUCGAAGUGAUAAGGAACAUGCUGAGAAUUUAAGAUUAGUGCUUCAAGUCCUUCGGGAGGAGAAGCUAUAUGCUAAGUUAAAGAAGUGUGACUUUUGGCUCCGAGAAGUCGCAUUUCUAGGGCAUGUAAUUUUCGAGGGUGGAGUUUCUAUAGACCCGAGGAAAGUUGAGGCGGUCAAGGAUUGGCCGCGCCCGACUAAUGUCACGGAGGUUCGAAGCUUCGUGGGCUUGGCGGGCUACUAUAGACGGUUCGUUGAGGGCUUCUCUAAGAUAGUAAUUCCACUUACCCAUCUGACUCAAAAAGGCACCAAAUUCGUUUGGAGCGAGGAGUGCGACCGGAGUUUCAAGGAGUUGAAGGAAAGGCUAACUUCGACUCUGGUACUCGCUUUACCGGUGCAAGGUGAAGACUUUGUAGUCUAUAGCGACGCUUCCUAUCUAGGAUUAGGGUGUGUUUUGAUGCAGGGCGGGAAGGUAAUCGCUUAUGCGUCCCGUCAGCUGAAGAGCUAUGAAAAGAACUACCCCAUUCACGACUUGGAGCUAGCGGCGGUAAUCUUCGCCUUGAAGCUGUGGAGGCACUACCUGUACGGUGCCCAUUGUGAGAUCUAUACCGACCACAAGAGUCUAAAAUAUCUGUUUAUACAGAAAGAGCUCAACAUGCGACAGUGGCGGUGGUUAGAACUACUAAAGGAUUAUGAUGUGGACAUCCUUUACCACCCGGGGAAAGCUAAUGUGGUCGCGGAUGCGCUCAGCAGAAAGUCAGCAGAGAACCUCGCUAUGUGGGUUACAAAUCAAACACCCCUAUGGCUGGACAUAGAGCGAAUGAACCUGGAGGUGGUUGCUUCGGAGAUUCCGACUCAGCUGAUGGCGCUCGUUGUCCAACAGACCUUGUUGGAGAGAAUCAAGAAUCUGCAACCCGCGGACUAAGAACUCCAAAAGGUGCGGCGCUACCUCGAGAAGGGUCGUGGCGGCGAUUUCAUGAUAGACGCCAAUGGUGCACUUCGAUUCCGAAAUCGAUGGUGUGUGCCGAAUAAUGAGGAGAUCCGAGGGCUAAUCUUGCAAGAGGCACAUUGGUCGCAUUAUUGUGAUCACCCGGGCGACACCAAGACGUAUCAGGGAUUAAAAAUGCACUAUUGGUGGCCGGGAAUGAAAAGCGAUAUUGGGCGCUUCGUGGUGAAAUGUUUAGUAUGCCAACAAGUGAAAGCGAAGCGCCGAUUUCCAGCGGGUAAGCUUCAAAGCCUACCAAUCCCCGUUUGAAAAUGGAAAGAUAUAUCGAUGGAUUUCGUGGUCGGCUUGCCUCGCUCAACGGGCAGCCACGAUGCAAUUUGGGUAAUUGUGGACCGAUUGACGAAGUCGGCUCACUUUUUGCCGAUCCACACCACGUGGGCAGGCGACAAGUUGGCGCAGGUGUACCUUGACGAGAUAGUGAGACUGCACGGGGUGCCGAAAUCGAUCGUGUCGGAUCGCGAUCCCCGGUUCACUUCACACUUUUGGAAAAGCCUGCAGGAAGCCCAUGGCACAUAGCUCGAUUUUAGUACAGCAUUCCAUCCUUAGAUAGAUGGGCAAACAGAAAGGACCAUUCAAACUCUGGAGGAUAUGCUGCGGGCGUGUGUCAUCGACUAUAGUGGGAAUUGGUGUGAUCAUUUGCCGAUGGCCGAGUUCGCCUACAACAACAGUUAUCAUGCUAGUACAGAGAUGGCACCAUUCGAGGCUCUUUAUGGGCGGAAGUGUCGGUCUUCUAUACACUGGAGCGAUGUGGGUGAGCGUGCAGAGUUCGGCCCAGACGUGUUGCGAGAAGCGGAGGAGAAAGUCCGCCUUACUCGCAAGCGAUUGCUCACGGCGUAGUCGAGACAGAAAAGCUAUGCUGAUAGGCGCCAUCGAGACAUAGAAUUUGCGGUGGGUGACCGCGUAUUCUUAAAAGUUUUGCCAAUGUGGGAUGUGAAGCGAUUUGGAGUGCGGAGAAAGUUAAGUCCCCGGUACAUUGGACUAUAUGAGAUAUUGGAGCGAGUAGGCAUGGUGGCCUAUCGACUUGCCUUGCCGCCGAAGCUUGCGGAUGUACACAAUAUGUUCCAUGUCUCUAACUUUCGCAAGUACAUUCAUGACCCCGAGCACGCAAUGCUAUAUGAGCCGCCGGAACUCGAAGAGGACUUGAGCUACGAGGAGUUUUCGGUGAUGGUUAUCGCCCGAGAAGUGCGAAAGCUGUGAAAUCGCAAGAUUCCCUACGUGAAGAUCCGGUGGAGCAAUUAUGAUGGUCGCGAGGCCACCUGGGAACUCGAGGAUCUGAUGAGGAAGCAUCAUCCUCACUUGUUUGAGAAAUAAUGUAUGGAAACUGAGUUUAAAUUAAGUUGAAUUAGUUUUGAGGAUGAAACUCCUUUUAAGGAGAGGACGAUGUAAGGAAGUGAAUUCUCGAAAUCCGAGAGUUGGACUUCGUCCAGGAUCGACUACUUGUCGAGUGGUACCCUUCGGAAAAGCCGAAGAUGUCUAAAACCCAAAAAAUACAUUGGAGUUGAGUCCACGAGAGCAAAUAGUGCAAAAUCUGCACUUGGCAGAUUCUGCUCUCGGGGACCGGUCCCUGGCGUCGGGGACCGGUUCCUGUAAGCAGGAAUUCUGGCAGAGAAGGGUCUGCGCAAAUCUGCUCUCUGGGACCGGUCCCUGGUAGGGAAGGACUGGUCCCCGUAGCUGGUGGUUGCGGAGGACCCGUGAUGCAACCGGUCGCCGGCCAGAGGGACCGGUUCCCGUACGCGUAAUCUGGCUGAAGGCUCUCGGGGACCGGUCCUCCCGUUGAGCGACCGGUCCCUCCGCAUGAAAUCUGCCUAGGCAGAGCAACUUGAUAGAGGUAAAGUUGAGGGGCUUGGCUGCAAUUAUGCCCUAGUUAGGGAGUAUAGAGGGCAAAGGGCUCUCUCUCCCUCUCUCAUUUCCACCCUCACACUCUUUCUCUCCCUCUCUCCCUCUAGAAAGAAAAGAAAAAGGAGAAGGAAGGCGAAGAAGAAGAGGAAGAAGAAGAAGGAAAGAAAGGUGGAUAAGAAGAAGGAGAUCAAGGAGAAGGCCUUGGACACCGUCACCUCCCUCUCCUCUCCCCUUUGGUGUAGCUUAAGAGGUAAGCUACCAACCCUAGCAUGGUAAAACUUAGGGUUUUGGGUUUUUAGCUUUUGAAAUGAGGUCAAAUAGAUCUCUAGCACCCUUAAUGGUGGAUUAGAGCUAGAAUCUAGGGUUCUAUGGUGCUAGUUGCAUGGUGUAACCCUAGGGCCCCAAAUUGGUGGUCUUUAAUAAAUGAUGUAAUUGAUCUCAUUUGAUAGCUUGUAAACCUAAUUGAUAGGUGUCGAAACGCGGAGGCGAAGUCGGAUUUUCGAUUCCUCGAACGGGUGAAAAGCUAUCGGCGAAAUAUAGCCGAUUGAGCACCGUUUUGGAUCAAGGAGGCCGAGACAUCGUCGUAACGUUCGUUGGGGAACGUUUCUAGAACCUUCGUACCCUCAAAAGGUGGGGGGUGUCAUCUCGAAGCAACCGAGCUCUUUUCUAUGUCUCAGAAAUACAUGAAUUUCAUCUCUUUCAUGUUGCAUUGUAGGAUUCCAUUGUAGUACCUUAUCCUUAUGCUUCUAAAUGUUAACCUAGUGUGCAUGGAAUACUUGGUGAAAUGGAUAGGUAAGGAUUGGGUCGGAACAUGGAUCCUAUAGUGCCAAAAGAAAGAGAUGAACUCGAUGGUUAUUCAGUGACAUAGAGAGUGGCAUUAAUGUAGUGUACUUGACACUAGAGGUUCAUGAACUUAGGGAUAGAUGGAUUCCCUAGUAAAUGACUCGUGAACAAUGAACUUAGUAUAGCUAAGUAAUUAUGCAUGAAUGUCGGAAUAGAUGAGUUCCGAGAGAAUGUUGGCCCUAGUUCGUAAGGUAUCCUCACGUGGAGAGGAUAGAUCAAGCUCACGGGCUAUUAUUCGGGGUGGUAGAGCCAUCCAUAUCCUCACAUGGAGAGGAUUUGUCGUCGAGUACUCCAGAGUGUCGGGCGAUUAGGACAGAGUUGAUGUCCACAGAUAGUCCCGGGUUUGGGGGCACAUGGAGUCUCCUUACCCUAUGGGAUGGAUAUGUGAGGGUAGGCAAAUCCAAGGGUUUCGCUACAGAUUGGGUAAAUGAAAAGUUAAUAUUGUCAUCGAACAUUGCUUAUCGAACAUGGAUCGAACUUGUUAGCAUGAUAGUAAACUUUUACUAAAUGAUGCAUGCAUUCAUCUCACAUGAUUAUGGGCAUAGUAGCAUAGUUUUUCUAUUAUGUCUUACAGCUUUGAUAUACAUAUAUCUAUCUGUUUCGUUGUUACUUUUGCCCACUUGGACCUAGUGGGGAGAUCGGCGGAGUCGGCGGCCGAGCCCACUGGGAACUAUGGAAGAUAGUUCUCACCCCACUUUAUUUCUAGGGCUAGGUACAGGUUUGCCGGGCGAGGGCCGCGGCAAAGGCAUCGCGCCCGACCAGUGAGGAUUAUUGGUAGAGUAGUAGUUUUCAUUUUGCAUUAGCACACCUAUGUAUUUGAGAGAGAUUCAUGUAGGUGAGGACUUUGGAGGGCUGUGUACUUGAUGAGCAUGUAUUCAUUUUGGAAAGAAAAAUGUAAUCGUAUAAGGAAUGCAAAUGUGAUGUAAUAGUUAGUACUCUUUUUAUUUCACUUGUGUAUCUUGUAGAUUACUUGCUCUUCGUUGUUGGCACUAUUUGUGCCCUGUUGAUCGUGUAUGUACAAAUUUAAUUUUUCUGGGUAAAUUCUUGUACAUGAUCAGGUUGUGAGCCUUGGGCGGGCAGGGGAGUUGCUGCCCGUUCGGCGUCCGUUCGCCACGCCCGAACUGUGCCAAAUUGGUAGGGGUUUCGGGGUGGGGGCGUGACAUAUACAAUAUAUGCAAGUCUGCUCUACUUGUCUACGAACAACUAUCACUAUGCAACUAUCAGGAUAUAGAGAAAUGAACGAUAAAUAAAGGCAACCAACAUGUAGAGACUAAAAUACUGAUUUACAAGUGCAAUACUAAGGAAAAGGAAAGUGAAACAAUUUCACCGACUACCAGCUCGAAGCACCCACCUAUACCAUAUGAAGUACACGGUUUGUCAACCGCUUGUCGCUGUCUUCUGCUAUCAUCCGGGCCUAUGCAUAGUUGCAAACGAAGCCGUAAUUAGCCUAACCCACUAGUUACCCAUAAGACAAGACUCUGAGUGAGUCCAACCAUUGGACAAUCGAAUUUUCGGAUUUCAGCUAACGGUCACUAAAAGAUAGCCUGAUUGUCACCCCAACUCGACAGAAUGUUGCACCAACACCAGGGGCGACCCGAAGUAAGACCCAUAGCUAUUCUACACUGCCCGCUAUCCCAAAGCAUCAUUUUAGUGUCCUUGGGACAGCCACACAAUGUGUGCGCUAAAAUUGAAUGUCGGGGCUUUGAAAAUUAGCUGUUUGUAUAUUUGGUCUCGGAACCCUCCAUGGCUUUCUUGCUGUAAUCCAGGGGCUCUAACCUUCCCCCGGCACUUCGCAAAUCAGCCACAAACCUGCUGCAAACAGCAGCAACAAAUACGACACUAGAUCGCACCCGAAAUCGCCCGAAAUUCACGUUAUCGAGCUUCGUUGAGCCCCGAAGCAUGCUGAAGUAUUCUAGAUUUAAUCCUAGCUUACUUGCUAUCCUGAAACACUCGUCUUUGGGUGUCGGAACAACAGCACCUCGUUUGGUGCAAGAGCAACUGGUCCAAUGCGGUCUAUGCCGCGACCGGGGUCCCGAUUAUUGCCGUUUUGGCUCCGGAAGACCCCGAAUCGCAAAGCGUCGAUUCAUGAGCGAGGACUUCGGCCCCAGAUCUUUAGAGUGGUGCACCCCUUCUAGAUCAAGAAGUUUGUUGAGGUGUUGGACAGGGCUCUUUGGGUGGAGCAUGGGAAUGCGUUCGCGCGUGAGGAGCACGAGGCAUUUGAAAAGGACAAGGGGAAGAAGCGAACUACGAGCAUUUCGGGGGGACAGUCGAGUUCCAAGAGGCCCCCGAAGUACCCGCGAGCACAGUCCAAGGGUCCAGGACCCCUACGAUGCGUUAUUUGUGGCAGAGAGCACCGACCGAUAAAUUGCAAGCAGCGAGAGGGGAGAUGUUUUAGAUGUGGUCAGAUGGGACACUUCAGCCGUCAGUGCCCAGGAGGGUCCUCGCCUGCCCCUUCGACUGCUUCUGCUCAGUCGGCUACUCGACAGUUGGAGCUCCACCUUCUGCUGCAUCUGUUGGAAGUGCCUUGGUACCGCGUCAGUCUGAAGGACCCCGAUCGGUGCCUAGCGGUCGCGUAUUUGCCGCCCAAGUGGAGGAACCUGCUGCAGUCGAUGUUGUCGUGGCAGGUAUUGUAUUGAUAAAUGGAAUCAGAUCUAGGGCGUUGUUUGACACGGGCGCAUCGCAUUCAUUUAUUUGCCAGUCAGUUACUAGUAUUCAUGGCAUAGAGGUUCAAGUGAACGAGGAUACUUGAUAGGUUGAUUCCCCCGAGCAUACGUUUAGUGUUAAGAAUGAGUGUUUGGUUUGUCCAGUACAAGUGGGCGACUGGGUUAUACCGGCAUAUUUACUCAUGUUAAAGCGGUUGAAAAGGUUUGAUUUGAUAUUGGGUAUGGAUUGGCUCUCGAUGCACUAUGCGACGAGUGAUUGCGAUAGUAAGGUGACAACCUUUCGUGAGCCUGGACAAGAGGAGUUCACCUAUCGUGGUUGUAGGAGUUCGCUCUUUGCCAUGAUGGUGACGACGUCGUGGGCAAAAAAGUUGAUUAGUAGUGGUUGCGUGGCUUAUUUAGCAACUGUGGUGGAGACUCGUAGGGAGACUCCGGUGCUCGAAGACAUUCCAGUGGUCCAAGAGUUUUCGGAUGUAUUUCUCGUGGAGUUGCCUGGAAUACCACCCGAUCGGGAGAUCGAGGUUGUGAUAGACUUGGUUCCCUGAUCGGCGCUAAUCUCAAAAGCUCCAUAUAGGAUGGCACCGGCCGAGUUGAAAGAGUUGAGGGCUUAGCUGCAAGAUCUUCUUGACAAGGGAUUCAUCAAGCCGAGUGUAUCACCUUGGGAAGCCCCAGUGCUGUUUGUAAAGAAGAAUGACGGAUCGCUCCGGUUAUGUGUGGAUUAUCGUGAGCUGAAUAAGGUCACGAUCAAAAAUAAAUACCCAUUGCCCUACAUCGACGACUUGUUUGAUCAAUUGCAAUGGUCUCGGGUGUAUUCGAAGAUUGAUCUUCAGUCGUGAUACCAUCAAUUGAGGAUCAAGCCGGAGGAUGUUCACAAGACCGUAUUUUGUACGCGAUAUGGACAUUACGUGUCAUGCCCCAUGGCCCAGCGGAAGCCCGCACGGCGCGUGCACAGACCCGCCGUGUACACCAGACAACCAAAAUGCACACAAGGCGUCUACCAAAACAAGAAAUGAACAUAGUAAAGUCCUAACAAAGCUAUCAGAGCGAGUAAUAUAAAAUCACUAAUGUUCUAGCACAGAGAGAUUCACAAAUAUACAAAAUGUAACAACUAAAUCCAAAAGACUAACAACAUCUCUAAAAUCAAAUGCAUAAUACAUCUUUCUACAAAAUGCAAAAAAGAAAGAUGAUAACGGGUCCAUCUAAAUAACUCCGUAGGGGCUCUAGCUAGUCGCUAACCCCUUGCCACGAUCCCUAGCCUUUCCAGCCGCGGAAGGCUCUGAAAUAAAAAUCAACAACAAAUGGGGGUGAGAACUAUUAAACAAUAGUUCUCAGUGGGUAAGCUGCCGAGAGUGGCGAAAUACACCACUAGGUCAACUGAGGCAUGCUAUAGAGGGGUAAAUAAACAACAUAUAUGAAAGCAAGUAAAUAAAUAAAACAUGUUGAAUCAUAGUCAUGCCUCCACUACAAAAUUAACUAUUAAGUAUAUGAUGUUCUACUUUCAUCUGAUCAAUUAUAUGUCAAUGUCGAUUUACAUGCAUAUUCAUUUGUAUGCCAAUGUCCAUUUACAUGCAUAUUCAUAAUGUCCAUGAUACUACAUAGAGUAAAUUGUGCUUUUCAUUGUUAUUCUAGUCAUGCAUACGUACUAGCACAAGAAUAUAGGUUUACUACCACUAAAGCUAUCAAUGUCACAAUGUCCCACAAAAUGUCCAACUACUAUGUAUGCAUCAAAUAGCAGUAUAAGGUAGCAAACCACAUGUAUGAACAUCUAUUAUGUAUGCAUCAACUAUGGUGAUGUACAAUAUCAAAUUAAGUCUUAAUACCCAAUUUACAAGGAACGUACACGUGGUAACGUCCUGGCUCGUGCCGUGCCUUAGUGGCCCGUGGGGGUCAUCAUUUUUCCUGCAAGAAAAGAGACUCUGCCCACAGCAUCCCACUUCGGCGCCCAAUCCCGCACGGGCGAUCUAUCGUCCCAAGGCUAAACUCCGGAGUGCCGGCUUGCAGGGAGCGACCCUCACAAGCAUGUGCGAAUGAGCACAAGGGUAAGCAAGCGUGAUCAUAGUAUAGGGUUCACAAUUUGGGAUACUCAAUCAUCAUGUCUAAAACAUGAAAUUUUUACACAUCGACUCGACAGUCGGGUACUAGAUUAUUCAUGUCACAUCAUGUCUUGUUUACAACUACUUGGGUGCUAUGUCUCUACCAACACAUAUAAUGCCUAAAGUAUGCAUAGUUCAUAUGACAAUAUCCUACCUAGGAUAGUUCACUACUCCAACAAGGUUCAUGACAUGCAAUUACAACAAUUGUCAAGAGAAACAUUUACUAAUACCAUAUGCAAGAGAACUAUGAAAUGUCCACAAGUACCACAAUGUAUGUUAUGCACAUGUCUUUCCACUAACAUUCCCACUACAUGGAGUAGAAGUAUUAUGAUGCAGAUAAUUAAUUCCACUAGUAUUACGUGCAAUCAUCUCUAUUAGGGUUCGCCCCAAGGGCUUUAUACUCUCUUUUCCUCAUGUCUAACAUAUGGAAUACAACUAUCAAACCCUAGAUCGCAUGUAAUGUCGCAAUGGCAAAUACUAGUUGUUCUACUAACUUAAUGCAUCAAGUUACCAUGUCACAUGUUAAGUUCUAGUUGUCCAACUAGGUUAAAUAUACCAAGUUUAGUUUCAUGAUGACCUUAUCAUAUUCUAUGUCACAUUAUCACAACUACCUUGUCUACAACAAGUAUAAUGUAAAAAAUGCUAAGUUCCAUUCACUUUGUCUAUAACGAGUAUAAUGUUGUCAUCAUGUAAGAUAAUUAUUUACUUAACCCAUUCACUAGGUACCCUCAAGGGAUUAUAUCAUCAUUCAUACUCUACCAUUAGGGUUGCAUAAAAGAUAAAUUGUCAAGAAGUGUCAUUUAGUGCCAAAAUCCACAUGUAUGCCUCUACUACAUAGAGUAUAGAUUCUCACUAUACAUAACAUAUAUAUGUUAUGUUCUCAUAAAUUCUAGCAUGUCAUAAUGAGUAUGAAAAAGCAUCUAAUUAUAUCUAAAAACCAAAAGGAAGACAUAGGGAGAGUUCAUCCAUUUCGGUUAGGUCAAACCCACCGAAAGCACUCGAACCCUUUCGUUCCUUCGAAGAAGUUGUCCACCGAACUUCUAACACCAUAAGAGAAAUUCUAAAGGGUUAGAAACUCCAAAACUACUAUUUCGAAAAUCUUCGAAAAACACACACACAAUAAGGUGAAAAAUACCUUUGAUCGAGCUACACUUGUCCAAAGCUCAAAUCAACCCAAAGGAUCUUCAAAUCCAACCUAAAGGAGAAUUCUACACUCAUCAAUUAGGUUCCAAAACCUCAAACCAAGAAACCCCAAAAGAAACCCUAAUAUCUCAUAUUUAGGUUUCAUCUCAAGAAAUCCACUAAAACAUAAUCUAAAGAAAAGAUUAAAGUUACUAACCUUUCUACAAGCUCCAAACCAAGCUAGGGGUUUGCUAAGCUAAGAAAUCUUUCCUCCAAAAGGCUCCAAUCCAAGCUCCAAAGCUUCUCUAAUGGUGGAAAGGUCAUCAAAAUGCAAAGAGAAGCAAAAGAGGUGAUUAAUCCUCCAAAAUCCAAGCAAAAAUAGAAGGAAAUCAAAGAGGGGAUGAGGAGAGGCUCCUUACCCUUCUCUCCUCAGGUUCCAGGCUCAGGGAACACAAAAGGGGGCGUGGGGUAUUUGUAGAGUAGUAACAAUUCCAAAAAUAUCCCUCAAGAACAAGCAGUCAGCAAUCUGCACUGCGUACCGGUGACACGGGAUGGGGUACCGGUACCAUGCAGCAGCACGCGUAAACCCGAGCCUCGAGUUGGCAAGAAAACACACUGGGUACUGGUACCAGCGCAAUGCAGUAACGGUACUAGGUCUAGUACCGGUACUCAGGCAAUACAGUAUAGGUACUCUGCCCUGCAGAGUCCAACCCGAGAGCAAUCCAAAUUCUACAAUUUAGAGAUUUUGGUGCUAAGUUUUCAUCCUCGCUCCUCGGGAUGCGAGUCAUAGGUCGGAACACAAUAAACGACCAUACAGAAAACCCAAAAAGGCUCAGAUUACCAAUCAAACACUCGAACCUUACAAUUUGCUAAAGUUCAGUGUGUUACAUUCUCCCCUCCGUAAAGGGAGUUUCGUCCGCAAAACUACAAAUCAACCACACUACAAACCCAUCCGAAGAGGAUGGAAGAGGCGCUCCAACAGCGCACAAAUUAGAUUCCAAAGGUCUCGAGCAUGCCGGAUUGCUCCAAGGCAUCUCCACACCAAGAUCCCGCGGCUCCAAAGAUUCGGCAUAUCGCAAGCCAAUCUUCCACAAUAGUUCCUCGAACUCAAGUCUUCAUAGGGAAGUUCCAUCUCUAAUCCGCGCUCCUUCAACAAGCUCUUCAGUUGGUCCACAUGAAGCCAAUUGCCCUCAAAGGGCUAAAUUCCAUUUCUUACCUUCCUCAACCAGGUCGAGGGCGAAGUCUAGCUCUGCUUUAAUUUGCUCUUAUAAAUAGAGUUCCAUAAUAUCUCCUUCUCAGGAGGAUUCAAACCGUGUUAUCCAUAGGAAGAAUCCACCGGUUAUACCCGAUACAUAACCCAACAAAACUCCACCGGAGUGCUCGAAAUGAUUGUCACUUACCAAUAAGAGGCGAUAUAAAAUCCAAUCGUCGACCCAAAUCCCAACGAUGAUCCUCCAAAUCCAAGGGUCAUAACUCGUCAAGAAAUUGCACAACUGGGUGCAAUUCUAUUUCAUAGUUAAGCAUGGUGCAAUUUUUUUCCAUGUUGCUUCAAUUUGCCACAUUCCACAAUUCAAAUCCCGUUUGACCACAAAGCAGUCCAAAAUCAACAUCCAUGGUAAAAUUUCUUUCGAUAGCAACGAAAGCAAACGAAUCAUUCCAACUCGCACACCAGAGGUGAUUACUUGAUCAAACAUUCGGCUUCGAAUCACAAUGUAUCCAUGCCAUCUCCAAUUCCACCACUAGGGCAGAAAUCUCAAUUUCACCUCUAUAAUUGCUGCUUAGGGUCGGUGCUCAAAAGCUCCAUGAAUUCCACUAAGGACAUCUCUUCAGUUUCAAUACUCGUUGAUACCAAUCAUAGGGCGAAUCAUAACCAUCCCGUCUGCGAGAAAUUUCCUCACCUGUUCAACUUUGAUGUCCAAUUAAAUCCUUCACCAGUCUAGACGACGGGCUUGCCGCCGAUAGAAUAUCACAUAACACUUGUCACUUGAUUCCUCGAGUAGAGCCAAUCAAAGUCUUACCCUUAAUACCUUCCUUAGUACUUGAUACUUAAGGUGUCCGUCGUCACCGAGCUCAACUAAAGCGAUAGAGAGGGAUCCAUUCAUUCUUCAUUAAUAAGCUCUCUACCGUUGUCAUCUAGAUAUGACUAUUAACCAGAGUGUCAAUCCCAUAAACUCUUUUAUGCAGUUCUAUCCAAUGAACUUAAUUUCUUUGUGCAUGAACCGGAAAAAGGGAAACAAGUAACUUGGUAAUUUCCCUCUCUGAGUUUUCCAAACCACUCAAUCAAACGAUGAGGGUCUCACACCUCGAUCACAUCAAUCUGCCUACGCAGUCAUCCGUCGUAGAUCCUCAUCAGAAUACUUCACGGCCAUCAGCAACUGAUUCCACAAAUCCAUCCAGAAGGGCUUGGAAUUAUCAUUCAGCAAGUCCCUAAACUGGUGGGGCACUAAAAGCUUAGGUGGCAUCACAAUAAUUUCGUGAUGUCUCUGCCCAACAUCAGGAUCCAUUUAAGGUACAACCUUAAACUCCAGCACAAAACGGUCAUACUCAGAUUGUAAUCCAAUCUAUUGAGUAUACCUACAUCUCAAGACUAAUUGAAAAGAUCAAUGAACCUCUACAAUAAUCCAAAUACCAAAUUGUGUUUCAAUUUAGAUCACGAUAGUCAACACAUAGUCGAAACAACCUAGCCAGUCUCACAACAAGUGAGAGCGCUUUCCGUAAAGCAAAACAUUAGGCAUAAACGCCUCUCUGCUAGUCGAGCUCACAAUUUGUGACUCAGUCGGGAGUACUAUACAACUUCUCAGAAGAUAUCCUUCAUUCCGAGAAUUCUCAAACAUCCAAAAGUUAACGGCCAAUUAGGCCCCAAAUCCUCUCCAAUAAUUACCUGAUUUAGGUAAGGAGGUAGUCUUCGCAGACAGCGAGAUUAGACCCUCAAAAUGCACUAUUUCGUGCUCAAGUUCUCAAAGCGAGUCAAUUCAGCUCGCACGACCAAGGACACAAAGUGCUUCACAACUAAUCCAUAACAAGUAGGGCCAAUCCAUUUGUUUGAACACAAAAAUCUCUUAUGAAGUAGGGUGUUCAAAACGACACACCCGAUCAUCCAAUCAUCCUACAUGCAUCGAAAAUGAGUUAAUGCUAAACAGCUCGGCGAACACAGUUAACGACCAUAUCGAAAAUCCAAAAAGGCUCAGAUCACCAAUCAAACACUCAAACCUUGCAAUUUGCUAAAGUUCAGUGUAUUACAUUACGAAUUCACGGUCAUGCCGUUUGGGCUCACAAAUGCCCCUGCAGCAUUUAUAGAUUUGAUGAACCAUGUUUUCAAGUCCUUCUUGGAUCGAUUUGUCGUGGUAUACAUAGACGACAUAUUGGUCUACUCUCAUAGCGACGAGGAGCACAAAGAAUAUUUGAGAAUUGUGCUAUAAGUCCUUCGGGAGGAGAAGCUCUAUGAGAAGUUGAAGAAGUGCAAUUUUUGGCUUCGCGAAGUCACCUUCUUGGGCCACGUAAUUUUCGAGGGUAGUGUAUCGGUUGACCCAAGAAAAAUUGAAGCAAUAAAGGAUUGGCCUCGCCCGACGAAUGUAUGGGAAAUAUGCAGUUUUGUUGGUCUUGCGGGCUAUUAUCGGUGGUUUGUGGAGGGUUUCUCAAAGAUAGUUAUUCCACUUACCCGCCUUACACACAAGGGAACUAAAUUUUUGUGGAGUGACGAGUGCGGUCGGAGUUUUAAAGAGUUAAAAGAGAGAUUGACUACGUUUUGUCGUGUACAACUAUGCAUCCUAUCAAGGUUUGGGGUGUGUUUUGAUGCAGUGCGGGCAGGUUAUUGCAUAUGCCUCACGCCAGUUAAAGAGCUACGAGAAAAACUACCCUAUUCAUGAUUUGGAGCUCGCUACAGUGAUCUUUGCACCCGAAUUGUGGAGACACUAUUUGUACGGCGAACGUUGCGAGGUGUACACUAACCACAAGAGCCUCAAGUAUUUGUCACACAGAAGGAACUGAACAUAAGGCAGCGUCAGUGGUUAGAAUUGUUAAAGGAUUAUGAUGUAAUAAUUCUAUACCACCCGGAAAAAGCCAAUGUGGUGGCGGAUGUACGCUCAGCAGAAAAUUAGUGGAGAAUCUUGCAAUGGCCAUCACGCAUCAGCCAUCGUUGUGGAAGGAAAUGGGGCGGCUCAAUCUCGAAGUUGUGGCUCCGGAAGUCCCGGCUAUGCUUGCUGCCCUCGUUGUUCAAUCGACAUUGUUGGAGAGAAUUAAAGAUCAGCAAUCCUCGGAUCCGAAUCUCCAAAAGGUGCGGCGAGAUAUCGAGAACGGGCGCACAGCAAUUUUAGUGUGGGCUCUGAUAGUGCACUCUGGUACCGAAAUCGUUGGUAUGUGCGGGAUGACAAGGAAAUCCAAAAGAUUAUUUUACAAGAAGCUCAUCAGUCUCCCUAUAGUGUUCAUCAGGGCGGCACCAAGAUGUACAAGGAUCUGAAAAUACAUUACUAGUGGCCGGGGAUAAAAAAGGACAUCGGACACUAUAUGGCGCAAUGCCUUGUGUGCCAACAGGUCAAGGCGGAGCGCCGAUUUUCAGCGGGAAAGCUUCAAAGCCUAAUAAUUCCCGUAUGGAAGUGGGAGGACAUAGCCAUGGAUUUCGUUGUGGGACUACCCCGUUCGCAGGGUGGUCAUGAUGCGAUUUGGGUGGUGGUGGAUCGCCUAUCAAAGUCAGCGCACUUUCUACCUAUCCACACCACUUGGGCUGAUGAUAUAUUAGUGUAAGUUUAUCUUGAUGACAUCGUAAGACUCCACGGAGUUCCGACAACUAUUGUAUUAGAUCGGGAUACCCGAUUACAUCUCAUUUUUCGAAGAGUUUGCAAGAUGCGCUUCGCACACGGCUUGAUUUUAGCACGACAUUUCAUCCUCAAAGUGAUGGUCAGUCGGAGACGACGAUCCAAGUUCUUGAGGAUAUGCUUCAGGCGUGUGUAAUAGAUUACAAGGGCGGAUGGCAUGAUCAUUUGGCAAUGGCUGAGUUUGCCUAUAACAAUAGCUAUCAAGCGAGUAUUGAAAUGGCGCCGUUUGAAGCUCUUUACGGGAGGAAAUAUAGAUCUCCUAUACAUUGGGGUGAAGUUGGCGAGCGAGUUGUUUUUGGCCCCGAUGUGUUGAGAGAGGCGGAGGAGAAUGUUCGCAUUGCUCGCUAGAGGCUUCUAACAGUGCAAACUCGGCAACAAAGUUAUGCAAAUGUGCACCGGCGAGACCUUUAAUUCGCCGUGGGAGACCGUGUUUUUUUAAAGGUGUCACCAAUGCGUAGUGUAAAGCGGUUCAGAGUUCGGGGAAAGCUUAGCCCCUUAUACAUCGGACCAUACGAGAUGUUGGAAUGAGUAGGCACCGUGGCGUAUAGACUUGCAUUGCCGCCCAAACUUGCGAGAGUUCACAACGUGUUCUAUGUGUCCAAUCUCCGCAAGUAUGUUUAUCAUCCAAAUCACGUCCUCUUGUUUGAACCGCCGGAACUUCAUAAGGAUAUGACGUACGAAGAAUUCGGGUAUGCAUUCUCGCCCGAGAAGUUAUGGAAUUGCGGAAUCGUACGAUACCGUAUAUGAAAGUCUAGUGGAGCAAUCACGACGAGCGUGAAGCCACUUAGGAACUUGAAGAUAUGAUGCGGGAGCACCAUCCUCAUCUUUUUGAAGAUCUAAGUUGAGGUAUGAGUUGAGUUUGAGUUGAGUUUUGAGGACGAAACUCUUUUUAAGGGGUGGGGAGUACAAGGUAUUGGCUCCCCGAAGUGUUAUACCAACUUUGAUCAAAUUGAUCAAUGCGUGGUAAAGAGAGCUAUUGGACAUGUUUCAUAUAUGGGCAUGAGGGCUUCGGAGUCAUUAGAAGUAACCUUGGAUAAUAUUUGAGUGGUUUUAGCAUUAUCCGGGGCGAAAUCAGACUUAAGCAAUAAAAAGCUGCAGACUUUGCACUGUGCACCGGUACUGAAGCUUGGUACCGAUACCUAACAUGAAUGCAGAAAUGCUAGCUCUCGGGUUUGGGAAACAUGGCCUUGAGUACCGGUACUGGAAGGUUGUGUAUCGGUACCAGAGGUCGGGUACCGGUAUUCUAUAGAGUGCACAAAUAACCAACGUUCGGGUUGAGAUACCUGGUGGGUGGUAUCGGUACUGGGGACGUCGCAUACCGGUACUGGAGCCCGCGUACCGAUACUCAACAGAAAACUCUGAUAGUCUGUUCUCGGGUUGUGGCAUUAGCCUGGGGGUACCGGUACUCAAGCCUGAGUACCGGUACCCAGUGUUGCGUAAGGCAGAUUUUGAACUGCAACAAAUAUAAUUUGUUCAGGGGUCUAAUUGCAAUUGUGGGAACUUAUAUAUAGUCCCAACACCCCUCUCUCUUCUCCACAGCUGAGAACACCCUCAUUUCUUCCUCUUUUGACAUCUCCUUCUCUUUCUCUCUCUAGAAACUCUCCAACAAGGUCGUUUGGUGGGGUUUUGAAGGAUUUGGAGUUUUUGUGGAGUGGAAGAGGCUCUCCUUCAAGGUGGAGCUUGAGGUGUAGAAGUGGCCAAGGUAAGAUUUAGUAAGUUUAAGGUUAACCUAGAAUCCAUGUUUUUGAGAUUCUUGUGGCUUAGAAACCUAGAAUAAUCCAUUGUUUCUCAUGGUGUUUGGUUUAUGGCCAUGGUUUGGAAACCUUAGGGUUGAAAUUAGGAUUUUUGUAGAUAUGGAGUUUAUGAUGAAAUUGAUCCCUUAAUUUCUUAAUUGAAGGAUAAAUCGACAUGUUGGGAGACUUAAAACGAAGUUCCUACGAGCCUACGACGUACCGUUGGAGAAAAACACCGAUUUGCUUUCGUUACCUUUGGGUUGAGCCAAAACAGUGUCGGUAAAUUGCGGGACUUGAUUUCUUGCCUCUUAGCAUCAAUCGAAGGUGGGUGGUGUUAUCAGAAAUUGUUGAGUUUCUUCCUAUGUCUAUGUUACUAUUGUUGGCCAUUUAUAUACAUGUGUAAAAUUCAUGCAUUGUAGAGUAGUAUGUAUUGUAUACUCAAUUCCUUGCAUGCUCUUAUGGUAAAUGUAGAAAAUAUGAGAUGGAACAUAGAUGUAUAUGCACGAGGAUUGGGUCCUGAACAAUGGAAUCUCUAUAGUGCCAUGAACCGAAUGUGACUUAGACAAUAUAAUGACAUGGAAUGGUGGCAUUUGGACUUGUGAUGUUGAUAGCACACGUGACACUAGAUGUUAGGGAUGGAUAGAUCCUCGAGUAUUGUUACUCUUAGUUGGUAGGGUAUCCUCUAGUUGGAGUAUUGGAUUGUACUCACAUAUCGUCUAUCGGCUUGGUGGUGGUCGCUCCACCCAAGCAGUGAUGUCACGCCCCGCAACCACCAAUUUGGUCGGUUGGGGUACGCCGAAGAGACGCCGAACCGACAGAACCUCCCCUGUCUGCCCAAGGCUCAACAACAAUCAAGUACAUAUAGUUGCCCAGGAAACAUUAACCGCAUACAUGAUUCAUUGCGAGUAUAAACAAGCAAGAGCAAAAAAGUGAGAGUACUAGCUAUUACAUUUCCAUUCAACCAUUUGUAUCAUUGGUUAUAUUUUCAUCUCCCAAAAUGCAUACAUUAGGUUUACAUGUUCAACUCUCCAAAAGUAACCUCUCGCAAAAUACAUCAAGUCUCUCACAUGCAUAGGGUACUCUAAUGCAUAAAGGAAAGCUGCUAACUACUAGGCGCUAUGCCCUUACCACGGUCCUCGCCCGGUCAGCUCGAACUCGGCCCUGCAACAAAGUGAGAUGAGAACUACGAAUAGUUCCCAGUCACUGCAACAAAACUAAGUUUUAAUGGUGAUUAUUUGUUAAAAUCCUGGCAAUUAUAAUUGCCGCUAAAUAGUUUAGUGGCAAUUGUAGUAAUUGCUACCAAUGGUGGGGUCGGUAAAAGUUAUUAUGGCAUUUGUUUGGACGGUCGGUAAAAGUCUAAACAAAUGCCGCUUAAUCCUACCCAAUAACAACAAUUAUAAAUGCCAUCAAAAUUAAUUAUAAUUGCCACUAAAAGUAGACUAAAUAAUUACUAAAUAAGACUUAUAGCGGCAAUUGCCAUAUAUAUUAAAACACUUGAUCCACAAUUAAAUAUUCCAAUAAAUUGAAAUUAGAAAACAUGCAUUACCAAAAAGCAAUCAUAAUUUGCGACAAAUCAUAGUUUCAAUAUUAAAAAUAAAUUUCAUACAUGAGUUUCAAUNGCCACUAAAAGUAGACUAAAUAAUUACUAAAUAAGACUUAUAGCGGCAAUUGCCAUAUAUAUUAAAACACUUGAUCCACAAUUAAAUAUUCCAAUAAAUUGAAAUUAGAAAACAUGCAUUACCAAAAAGCAAUCAUAAUUUGCGACAAAUCAUAGUUUCAAUAUUAAAAAUAAAUUUCAUACAUGAGUUUCAAUUACAGAAUGCUUGUUUGAAUUCUAGCCAAACUAUCUCGAAAAAAUCCUAAAUUCUGAGUGCUCAAGCCAUUUUUUUGGACGGCAGCAAAAUGGCGGGCACGCAAAUAGAAAUGACCCCAGGCACACGCGAGUAUCUCCUCACAGUCAUCAUUGCCUAAAAAAUCCAAGCUGAUAUAUGUUUAAUCAAUCAGACAUUAUGAAUGGCUUUUCUACACCAGAUUAUAUGCCAAAUGCACAUAUAUUUGCAAAUAGCUGAAUUAUCGAAGAGUUUAAGCUGUGAUUAAGAUUAUAAAGAGCUAUUAAUUACAAUGGCCAAAAAUGAUCAUGUCAAGUCCAUUAGAGCAUUAUGAGAAUGAAAUACUAUCGUGAGUGGAGCAGCGCCGCAUCUCCAGUUGUAAACUGGGUGCUUCAGGUUCGUUACAGUUGCUAUAUAUUUGUUCAAACCAGCUGCAAGCAUACGACAAUAGAUAUGGCCGAGAACUUGCACGUAUUCAGCUUGUGGAAGCUGCUCAUGACAUGAAUUUGACAUUCAAAAAGAAGAUUCCCACAAAAUUGAAACUCACAUAGGCAUAAUCACCUUCAAAUUUCAAUGGUAGGGAUCCCCGAGCUUGAUAGCCAAAAUAGUGGCAUAUGGCAUUAAACUUUUUCCCCUUAUAUGCCCCUUGUUUCUGGAAGAAUUAAAGCACAAAGCACAGAAAUGUUCAAAGAAAAUAACAAGAAAUACAAGACAAAUGAUAGGAUUAAUUAGAUACAUGUUUUGCGGAUAAAAAAGUACUCCUUAAGACUUUAUCAACUAUGUACAAUAAGUUAGGUCUGAAUCUUUGAAGUCCUAACUUGUACACAAAUUUUAAAAAAGUAAAAUCUACCAUUCGCUCGUUCAUUUCUGCUUCGACCAAAGUGCCUAGUAGUUUCUCUCUCUCAAUCUGCACAUAAUUACAAGAAAUAAGUACAUAGACAUAUAAAACAACCUUAUGACAUUGCUAACUGCUGAAUCCGAACAGAGUUGGAAACAACCUUCUUCGCUCUAGCUUGGACCACAUCACAAAUAUGCUUUGUAAUGUCUACAAUAGUCAGUUUAGACAAUGCCACCACCUCACCUAGGAGGAGCUGAUAUAAAAUUAAAGUGAUUCAAGAUAUGAAAGAAAAUGCGACUUUAUUGGAAUGGAAUCAUCUGCUAUGAAAUCAAACCAUGUUUCAGUGUGAUUGGAGUGCACGCUCCAAAGCCACAUGUGAUGCUUUGUGACCCAUCAACCGUAUGAAGUGAUAGUACUACAUAAAAUGGAAUUUGUUCAUUUCAGAAACCAUAAGAUAAAUACUUGGAAGCAUCACAACAAUGAUACGCAUCUCACGCCAUAUAAGAACUAUUCUCUACUAAUAAUUGCACGAAAUUCAAAUAGAAAGAGUGAUCGCAAAAAUAAAACUACUAAUUGCAAACACUAAACAAGUGAUGAUCUUCUUCUAAUGAUCCACUUAAUCAAUUUGGAAAAUGUUUCUCCAAUAUCAAAUAAUAAAAUCCUCUUUAGUGGCGAUUUUUUUUUCUGUUCAAAAAAAUCAUUCAGGCAGUGUAAUGACUGAAAGAUGUUCCCGCAAAUUCUACACAAUAUGGUUUCUCCAUGAUCUAUGUCCAUUCAAAACCAAAAGAUUAACUUUUCACGCAGUCACCGACCGUUCCUAGAGCAAGUGGCAAAGGGCUUGGUGGUUGCUACCCGAGGUCCCAAGUUCGAAUCCUAGUUGAUUCACAUUUCUAGCUAAGUUUAUUUCUAAAUGAAAUAAACGAAGCGGGUAGCGUGCUACCUAUCUCUCAAAAAAAAAAAAAAAAAAAAUUUCACGCAGUCUAUAACCUAUAUAAAAACAACGGUUUCAAAAACAUAAGAUAGUAAUCCAUACCUUGCCAGCUGAGAUGGCAUCUAGGCAAACAUUGCUGAUGAGCUGCGAGUUGAUCUGGAAGUAUAUAAAAUUAAAGCCUACUAUACUAGUCAUUUAUGAAGAAAAGAUGUUGAUUGUUAAAACAAUAUUUUUCAGCAAAAAUAAAAAAAAUAUAGAAAAAAGAACUACGAAAAAUGUCCACUAUUAAAUUCAUUUAUCAUAUUUGGCAAAUAUGAAUGGAAUUCAACAAUAUUUUCCACAACUAUACAUGGAUCUGGGUUACCAUGGAGUAAAAAAAUUAUUUUAUAAGAAGGAAUCUUAUAAAAUAAAAGAUCCGGAACAAAUUCAGGGCAAUCACGAAUUAUUGAUAUAAAACGAGUCAUUUCAGGAUGCAUAGAUAAACUACAUAAAAUUAUAUACCUUUGUUGGGCAUUUUAAUUCGGUGAAUGUCUCUGCAAGCUGAGCGGCAUCUGUGUUGGAAGUUGUUCCUUCAUAGACAAAUCAAAACAAUUAAGAAGCCGCAGUAAUCAAUCUGAGAGCAAAAUAAUUAACGACCUGUAUGUGGAUCAACGGAUUCCUCCAGUAAUGACAAGACUAUCCAACUUCAGAUCUUGGCAUGCCGACAUUGCAACAUUCACUUGCUUAGUUGUUCUUAUUUGAUCCACACUCCGACCAAGCAUAUCGAAACCACCUUCACAAGCAAAAGAUUUUAUGUCGACAAAAUAUAUAUAUAUAAGGUAACACUGAAGCUAAAACAGAAAAAGAGAAGGGCAACUUCGUGCAAACCUUGGUGUUUGUACGUAGAAAGAACUUCAUCUGUGAUUUUCAGGGUUUUCUGUGCAAAUAAGCCUUCUGUACCACCUAUAUCCAGAAAUAGGAAGAAGCAAUGAGCAAGAAAUGCUGAAGAAUAUUAUAAUUUGGAACUGGAGUUGAGCUAGAAGAGUCGAAGCCUAUAAACAAAAGUGUAAUUGUUAUUAAAGUGCAAUCUUCAGAACUUGGCUUUGGCAACAAAUCUAUAACAGCGAGUAUACUUGAAAGACUACUAAUCACUUCAACUCCACAAAUGGAACUUCCAAUCCUCACAAAUAAUAUCUGAUCUCCUUUCUAACCGUGUUUAUGUGCGCUGCACAUGCUUCAUAGCGUUCUGAUAAAUCAAAGCUAAUCGCAAAAAAAACAACAUACAACAUAUUGCUAUCGAAGAAAAUUACAUGCUUGCAAGGGGAAGAAAGGUAUGCUAAACUAAAAGGGCUGAUUUAACAUGUUAUUUUGGUGACUUACAAGCCUAGAAUAGAAAACACGGCAGUCAAACUUGAAGAAACGAUAUGCUACCUCGUAAAGAAAAAUGCUCACCAACAAAUCCUAGCAAAAGUAUUGUCAGGAUUGUGAAUUUUUAUAGCAUCGUAAAGGCCCCAAAUUACGUUGUGGCCUCAUGGUGAUUGUCUUCUGGAAAAUACAACCCCAACCCUACAGCAACAGGUUUUGGAGCUCUAAGCAUCAGCUGGCAGCUUCAGUGUGGCUCAACAUGCCAAAAAAUGAUGUGUAUAAUAAUGACAGUCCAGCAAAACAAAUUCUUGGUCUAGAUAGAGGAGGUCAGCAAUCUAACAUUUUUGUCCAGUUUAAAUCUUCUGAGAGGUAAGAACUGCAAUAAACCUGAUAGGUGGCUGGUCCUCAAUGAUAUGCGUGUCGGGGACUUUCGAUGUUGCCCUCAGAAAAUGAGCUAACAGCUGCCCGAAAGUGUGGGGAAACGCUUGGGCGAUAACAUGCGCGCUAGAUGAAUCGGUGGUUGUCGUCGAAUCCCCAUACUCUACUCUCACUGUAGUCCCCUGUUUCAAGAGAUCAUGCUAAGUAAAACCAGAUAGUAUUCACAGGAAUCAGCAACAAAACAAGUCCUAUUCGGAAGAUGCAGCGAGCAAUUACGGUGACUAAAAAACAUACUAAGAUGAAAGAACAAGUGAUUGUAAUAUUUCCUGUAUUCAAUAUAUGAAAAUCCAAACUUUCCGCAGCAAUAAUUAAGUUCUUUACAAAACGGCAAUCAGCUCUCUCAUCUCGGGCUUCGCUUUUUCUCUGACUAAANAACAAAACAAGUCCUAUUCGGAAGAUGCAGCGAGCAAUUACGGUGACUAAAAAACAUACUAAGAUGAAAGAACAAGUGAUUGUAAUAUUUCCUGUAUUCAAUAUAUGAAAAUCCAAACUUUCCGCAGCAAUAAUUAAGUUCUUUACAAAACGGCAAUCAGCUCUCUCAUCUCGGGCUUCGCUUUUUCUCUGACUAAAACCUCCUCAAAUUUUACCUUCCUUCGGCUCUCCUCAACUUCUUUAGACUGCGAGACUGCACUCACCACUUGGUUGGAUAGCUUACCAAUGACCGCCAUCUCCCUGUUAACCCAUAACUCUUCUUCUUCUUGUUCGAGGAACUCUGCGAUUUUCAUAAACAAUUUGUCUUCGAAAUCAUAACUAUCCCACCAUCCAUAUUAAUUUGUAACCAUACUGAACUAUACACUGGAACAUUACAUUUAGGACUUUUACAUAUGUAUCCAUGCAAAAUCAUCUGUCUAGUGUCUACACAUAUGCCCCUUCCAAGUGCGAAGUUGGUUCUGUUCUAAGAAAGAUCUUUAAGAGAGGACAUUCUUGUAGAUGCGUAUAUUUAAGAAAUUAAGCUUUAAAGGGCCUAUAAGAGAAUACGGCAUAUAAGUAAAUAGAUAAUUUAGCAUGGGGAUAUAUGUAAGUAUCUCUUAAGUUUAAAAGUUGGACUUAUGGGUAAGAUAAUAGCCGAGUGAUGAAGCAUAUACCAUAGGCAUUUCCGAUCAUAUGGGUGUCCCUGAAUCCAAUUGUGACGGCUAGACAAAGAAGCAUCAAAAGCCAAUUCACCUCCGGUAUGUAUAUCUGCCCAUGGACGUGACUUGAUGUGUGUAUGAUCUUAAUGCAAGAAAAGCACCCCAAUGGCCUACACUAGCUGAUUUUGGAGAAGGUAGCUGAUAUAAUUGCUUGGCUUCCAACUACUGUGGCUAAUGUUGCGAUGAUUAAUAUUGGUCAAAAGACAUUCUCUGGAUUGAAUGAACAAACGAGUACAAAGAAAGCAUCAAAUAGUGUUAAAUAAACUUCUUAAUGGCAAAACUAAAAUUUUAAUUUAUUAUUACAUGAUUAAUAUCGGCCAACUUUUUAUUUCCCAUAUAGGGCAAAGAAGACAAAUUUGAGAGGAUCAACUUCUCUCUUGCUACUCGAUUUCUGUCGACUAGAUGAAAUUGCUCAAGCAACAGUUAUGAUAUAUUACUCGAGUAAUAUAAAUUAUGAUAUAUUACUCGAUAGAGUGAGGAUUUGAACCUAUAACUCAUAAACGAACAACAAAAAGCAAAAGAAAAAGAAAAAAAAGCUCAUAGAGCGAGGAUUCGAACCUUGGUUUGGAAAUCGACGGAUUGGAUAUCCGCCUUGUAAGCGGAGGCGGCGAUCUCCCCGAACGCAGCCUUGAGGGAGAGGGAGGAGUCGACCCAGACCCCAUUCGCGAAGGAGACGCGGGGCCCACCGGCAGCGGAGGCGUCGGCGAGGACGCGGCCGACGACGUGGGCGGCGAGGGCGGAGACGUCGUCUGUGGUGGCGUCGGCGCCGCCCGCGGGGGCGAGCACAGCGAGGAGCUCGUCGAGGGUGGGGCCUGCAUCCCCGCCGCGGCGAGGCUGAGGAGCGCGUGGAGGAAAGAUCGGAGAGGUGAAUGUGAAGGAAAGGGAGGCGACAGAAGAGGUGGAGGAGAUGGGGAGAGCUCGAUCGAGGUCGAGCUCCGCGUGGGAGGAGGGGGCGCAAAUGAGGUGGGGGGCGAAUAGGGUUAGGGUGGGAGGUGCACUCUUGUGAGCCCAAUCGUGCUGUUUUGGGUUGGAAUUAGAAUUAGGGGUAAGAUUAUAUUGAUUGUCAAAUAAAUAUAUUUAAUAUAAAAUUAACGGCUAUUUAAAAUAAUUGUCGCUAAAACAUAUAUUGAUAAAAAGUAUUAACGGCUGUCCAAUAAUCGAUGCUAUUAAAUUGCCGCUAAAAGGCAAUCUUGUUGUAGUGAGUGGGUUCGGCCGCCGACUCCGCCUAUCUUCCCACUAGGUCUAAGUAGGCAUGAGUAGAUAGAUAGAUAGAUAUGAUAAUAAAAGCUGCUAACAUAGUAAUGAAAUCUACUAUCAAUUUACUAUGCUACUAUGCCUUCAAUAAUAUAAUGCAUGAAAUGCUCACCUAGCAAUGAAACCAACUAUCAUGCUAGUAUAUCUCAACAAUGUAAUUGAAUGAAAGAACUACAUAGUAAUGAAGUCAACUAUCAUGCUACUAUGUUCAACAAGUAUGUCAUUCAUUAAUUCAUCACCCAAUCCACAUGGCUACCCCGAAGGUUCGCCCCGACUCACAUCUCAAAUCCCAUAGGUGAGGAGUCUUAGCUGCUCAACCCACCUGAGACCGACUACGGGACAACCACGUCUGCCCCUAGUAUGAUGACUCCGGAGUGCGCUGCUUGGGUAGAGCGACCACCGCAAAACGAAAACAGACUAUGUGAGUAUGAUCCAAUCCUCGUCAACUGAGGACACCCUACCAACUAGAGCUAACAACAACUCGGGAACUCAACUGUCCCAAUGUCCAUGUUCAAGUGUCUCAACUACACUAAGUUCACGUGUCAUUUGUCCAUAACUAGGAAAAUUCAUCUAUUCCUAGAUUCAUCAUGUCAUUAGUGCUUCUACUACACUAGUUAUAUUCCACUCGUUAUGUCAUCAUACAUGGUUUUAUAUGCCACUCGUCUAUGUCAUCAUUUGUUACCGACAUUAUAGGAUUCCAUGUCAAGACCCAAUCCUCAAGCAUCCAACAUGUAAUGUGUUCAACUCACAAUGCUAUAUCAAUCAAGGAAGCAUAUAAGGAAAUGGGAAUGCAACUACCAAUACCCUACAAUGCAUAAUCAACAUACAAGAUGCAUGGUCAACAUUAGAACAUAGACAUAAAGUGAAGUCCGAUGGCUUCGGAUAGCACCCCCCACCUUUUGGUGAUGCCAAGAUGCUAGAAACCAAAUUUCGUGAUUUUUGGACGUUGCCUCGGCCCUCCAGGCGGAAACGAAGCAAAAACGAUCGUUUUCUUCAAUACCGUGCCACAUGCCCGUAGGAACUCCCGUUCGAGUUGCCCACAAUGUCGAUUUUACCUUCAAUUAGGUUUACAAAGGGUCAAUUUAACCAUAAACCUCAUAUCUAUGAAAACCCCAAUUGCAACCCUAGGGUUUCCAUAGCAUGAACUACAUGAGUUCAUCAUGUGAUCCCAAGGUUUUCUCUAAGUUUUCCUUCAUGUAAGAAGAUCAAAUCCAAGUGUUUUAGGGUAUAAAACCAAACCCUAAACAAGUUCUUACAAGAAACCUUACCUUAGCCUAUGAACACCACGAGCUCCACCUUGUAGGAGAGCUCUUCACAUUCAAAAAGCCUCAAAUCUCCUUCAAAUUCCCUCCAAUCUCCACCAAUCACCCUUAGGGAGAAGCUUCUAGAGAGAGAGAGAAAGAAAAUGAGAGAGGAGGAGUGUUCUCAGCUUGUGAACAAGAGAGGAGGAGAUGGGGUCCUCUUAUAUGUUCACACAAUUGCAAAUAAGCCCUCCAUUUUGUUUUAUUUGUAGCAGACUGCAACCUGUUGUUCGCAGUGCAGUGUACCGGUGACACGGGCUCUUGUCACCGGUACACCAUCCAGCAGCAGCCAAACCCGAGAGAUGCUGUUCUCGGGUUGCUGCAGAGUACCGAUGACUAACCAGGGCUGUCACCAGUACACUGCCCCAGUACCGAUGACACCCGAAUGUUGUCACCGGUACACAGCCCCAGAUGCCCAAACCCGAGAGCUGCUGCUCUCGGUUGCCUGCCUGGUACCGGUGACACCCAGGGCCAUCACCGGUACACAGUACUCAGAUUGCAUUUUUUUGGUAGAGCUCAGUUCUAUUUCGCGUCGAGCAAUGCUAAAACUCGUUAAUCUCAUUUGGAACUCAACUUUAACCCUUCCGACAUUAUUGAAAUGUCGUAUGGACCGUGUCCAACCAUAUCUCUCGCCACGUUUUAAUCAUUUUGACCAAAAGUGGUUUAACUCGACGAGGAUCCAUUAUCUUACAAGUGAGCUCCGGAGUGGUCACACACUGGGUUAACGUAUCUACCCAACAGACGGUCCCCGAUGAGUGUAGCGGGCGUCUCCUCAUCUGCGGGAUUGGUUGUGAGUUGGGCUCAACCUUCGGGUUAGCCGGUGUGAUUGGGUUACAAGCAUAUGAAUGGCAUGCAUCAUGAGCAUAAUGGUUACUUAUUCAUCAUAUCAUAUUAUUGAGGCACAGUAGUAUGUUAGCAUUCCUUACUCUUGUUCUCCUUUCUACUUAUGCCUACUUAGACCUAGUGAAAAAAUUUGUGGGGUCGGCGGCCGAACCCACUGGAAACUUCUUUUAGUUCUCACCCCAUUAUUUUGCGGAUCCCUAUCCUAGCGGAGCGGCCGAGGAUUGUGGCAAGGGCAUAGCGCCCUAGGUAGUGGACUUCCCGUGCAUUAGUAUACCAUGUACCUAUUUAUGUGAGAGACGUUUUAUGUUUUGGAGAGAACAUGUAGUGAGGAUGGCUACGUAUGAAUUAGAUGGUUGUAUUUUGGUGAGAUGCAAAUGGAUAAGUAAAUGAAUGGUUGUAAUAGUUAAUUUAGUUAAUCUUCUCUCUUGCUCUUGUAUAUUGCCCUUGCGCAAAUCAUGUAUGUUGUUUGUUUUACUUGGGCAAAACUUGAUGUACAUGAUGUUGUUGAGCCUUGGGUGGUAUAGGAGAGAUUCUGUCCGUUCGAUGGUCUGUGUGCGUGCCCGCAACCGAUCAAAUUGGCGGUUUUGGGGCAUGACAAACCAUUGGACAACUCGAAUUUUCGGAAUUCGGCUGACGGUCACCGAAAGAUAGCCCGAUUGUCACCCCAACUCGACAAAAUGUCGCAGCAACCCCUGGGGUGACCCGAAGUAAGACUCAUAACUAUUCUACACUGCUUGUUGUCCCAAAGCAUCAUUUUAGUGCCCUUGGGACAGCCGCACAAUGUGUGCGCUAAAAUGGAAAGUCGGGGCUUCGGAAAUUAGCCAUUUGGCUUUUGGGGUGCCGUUUUUGGUCCCGGAACCCUCCAUGGCUUUCUUGCUGCAAUCCAGGAUCUCUAACCUUCCCCUGGCACUUCGCAAAUCGGCCACAAACCUGUUGUGAACAGCAGCAACAAAUAUGACGUGAGGUCGCACCCGAAACUGCCCGAAAUUCACGUUAUCGAGCUCCGUCGAGCCCCGAAGCAUGCCGAAGUAUUCCGGAUUUAAUCCUAACUUACUUGCUGUCCCGAAACACUAGCCAUUGGGUGUCGGAAUAGCAGCACCUCGUUUGGUGGAAGAGCAAUGUAACACACUGGACCAGUGCAAAUUGCGAGGUUCGAGUGCUUGACUUGGAUUCCGAGCUUUUCCACACUUGGUUGAAGGUCGUAGAUAGUAUUCCGACCUAAAAGUUCGAUUUCUGGAAUCUUGGCUAAGUCCUAGAGUUUUCACUCUCGGGGACUGGUCCCUGGUAGGAGAGACCGGUCCCAUCGGAACAGUGUUGCGGCAGAACUUGAGGCAACCGGUCCCUGGCUGAUGAGACCGGUCCCCGAGCGCGACUACGCGGGGAGAGACCGGUCCCAUGCGGGGAGAGACCGGUUCCCGAACGUUGGAUUUGCCGGAUGAACCGAGAGAUCAGUCCGAGGCAGGGAGAGACCGGUCCCUCAGCCCGAAAAUUACCCAGUUCGGGCAGUGCAAUAGUUUCAAAGUUGAGGGGCUUUUUCUGGAUUUUAUUACAAUAGAUGGCCUAAAUGGCCAUUUCACCUCUCUCCCUCCCUCAUUUCACACUCUCCCUUGCACUCUAGAGAGAGAAAGAGAAGGAGAAGAAGAGGAAGAAGAAGGAGAAGGAGAGGAGCUUGCUUGGAGGCCUUGGAGCAUCUUCCUCUCCCUCGUUUCGCACCUUUGGUGGCUUGGAGCUUGUGGUUGGAGCCUUGUGGUGGAUCAAUCUUCUACCCUUAGGGAUUUUGAGCUUGUUUUGGAACAUCUUAGAGGUAAGUGGCUAGUUUUCUUCCUCUAUAUCCUAGUUUUGAAGCUAUAAACUAGAUGAAACCCUAGAUUUGGAUUUUAGGGUUUAUUUUGGAGAUUUUUGAUUUGAGGGCUUUGAGACCCAAUUGAUUGGUUUAGAACCUUCCUCUAGGUUAGGUUGGAAGGGUUCUAGCUCUCUUUGGAAGCUUGUGAAGGGAUUUUUACACGAGAGGUGAGUUAUGCCCUUUAUACCUAGAUGGUUAAAGAUUGAGCUUAGUAUUGUUCGUAAUAUUCGUUUAACUCUUGUUCCUACAUUUUUAGGGUGCUAGGAGACUAGUGGACACCUUCGUUGGAGCAAACGAAGGAGCGCAAGAGUUAUGGUGGGUUUGGCUUCAUGAGAACGGGGCAAAAUGGCCCCUACGCUUGCUAUAUUUGUCGUAACGUCUUUUUGAAUGCAAAUCCAUGCUAGAUAGGAUUUAUGUGAAUUUUAGAACACUUAAAAUGCAUGCCUUAUAUAUCAUAAAAAUUUCACUCUAUAUAAUAGAGCAUUAUGAGUAAAUUCCAUGCAUGUGAGAAGUGUUCGUGUUAGUGAUUUGGAAACAUGUCUAUUAUGUUAGAAAUUGCUCAAAUUAUGCAUUUGCAAAUAAUAAACUCAUGUUUGGACUUAGCGGACAAAAAUGCCAUAAAGGGGCACUUGACAUAGUAAACUGUGAAAUUGCAACAUAGAGACAUAGUGAUAGGCCAUUGAAUAUCUGCUAUAUUCUAUGUUAGAGACAUGAUGACAUAGAGAUAGGCCUUUGGGACAUUCGAUAUAUAUAUAUUCCAUGUUGUUAGACAUGAGGACUUGGUACUUGAGACGGAUUUUUUGGUUACUUGCCAUUGUGCUCAUUCGCACAUGCUUGUGAGGGUCGCUCCCUAUAAGCCGGCACUCCGGAGAUGGCCAUCGAGAUACAUAUUCGCCGUGCCGGAUUGGGUGCCGAAGUGGAUUGCCGUGGGCUAGGCUCAUUCCUAGAGUGAGGAUGUUGACUACCACGGGGCCAUUAGGCUCGGCACCGGCCAGACAGCCUACGGGUGGGUCUCAGGGCCAGACAGCCUUUGGCGGCGGGUCUCUUCAGAUUUGACUUGGAGCAUUCAUCAUGCCAUGUGGACAUUAACUAGAAUAGUAAACAAUAACAUCUUUACUAUUUGACUUAUGGACAUCAUACUAGCGAUACUUGGGUACAUUCAUACGAGAAUAGCUUUUCUUACUUAUGCUAAAUCAUGCUAAGUAGAGAUAUCAUGUGGUAACAAAUAUUCAUACUUAUUUACUUGUUGUACAUUUCGCUCUUGUUUAUAUCUGCUUACUGACCCCUUGUUAGUCUGGGCCUAGUGGUGCAUUUCACUGAAGCCAGUAAUUGCCCACUGGGAACUAUUAUUCAAUAGUUCUCACGCCCUCUGUUUUAUGGUUUUAUUUCAAAGCUUUCGGCACCGGCGGAGGCACGGGAUCGCGGCAAGGGAGUCGUAUAGCUAGAUAGCGGAGCUCGCUAUUGCUCCUAGGUGGUCACUCUCUUCUUUUUGAUUUUUGUGAGAGAGAGAGUUUUGUACCAUGUAUAGAGACCACCUGUGUACCUUGUUUAGCUUUCGUUUUUGGGAUUUUUAAUGUAUUACUUUAUGUUUGUACUUAGCGGAUUUCACUUUAUGUUCCUUUUCCUUUUGUAGCUUCUAGAUACACUUUGCUCUGAUACAUCUAGAUGUUCUCUUUUUAUUGCCUUAUUUAUCGUUUUGUUUUAGACGCCUUAUAUAUUUUAGACAUAUGGCGGGUCUAGGCACGUGCCGGGCGGGCUUCCACUGGGUCCCGGGGCGUGACAAGCAAUUGGUCCAAUGCGGUCUAUGCCACGAUCGGGGUCCCGAUCAUUGCCAUUUUGGCUCCGGAAGCCCCCGAAUUGCAAAACGUCGAUUCGUGAGUCUCGAAGGCUCAUUAACGGUAGCACACGAAGUGUUACGCCUGGUGUGACCAGCAGCGACACGAGUCCUAUAACCAAAGCCAAAAACGAGGCUCCGACGGCACAAAUGAUGGUGAUAUAAGCGCUAAUUGCCUUGCUAAUUGAACCACGAGGUUCGUGGGCAUCGGACAAUGAACGAGGACACAAAUAUUUCAAUAUGCAUGCUGCCUACAGCAUCAACGAUGCGAAAACACCGCUAUGAUGCAAACCGAGCCCAAACGCUUGACUACGAUCUCAACGUGCGAUAGUUUCUCGACAACUACGAAGUUACAGCCUUACCGUUGUUCCAGGGGCUUCAAAAACACAGCAAGGAUGAAAUCCUCACGAUCCUUAGGCGCUGGACUCCUCCCACGGCAGUCCCGAACGGGAGUCGCGCUCGCUGCACAGCGAAUCCGCGAACAAUGCCUUGCCGCAGCCUGCGCGCGAUGAUUCAUCGCAAUCUGCGAACCAGCCAAGAAGAGCAAGAAUUUUUAGUGAACCCAACAACGAAAGUAAUCAGCGGAGGGUGGUGCUUACCUUAACCAUGCUCCACAAGGUAAAGAAUAGUAGUUGGGAAAUUUUGAAUUUUUCACGAACAAUCCCCCACAAAAAUUCAAAAUUUUCAAAUAUAAAAAUUAAACAAAAAUAAAUUAAAUAAAUAAAUCAAUUAAUCACCGGAUAUUUAUAUUAUGCAAUAGGCGAUGUGUCUUUAAGAGAAUUAACCCUACUUAGUGUAAAUAGUUUCCAUCAGAAAGAAUCGGAGUGAACCAAGUCUUGAACUACGUUCCUUUGACCCUAACUUCAACUACCACACACACAGUACAGAAUUCUCCGUCGCGGGUCUGUGCGUUAAUGGCCAUGCAUAAUAUCUUGAUUUUUCAUAAGAGCUUAUAUAGACAGCCCACAUCACAUAGCCGCAGCCACAUACGGAUACUCUUAUAUAGGUGGUUUCCUCCAGGGAUGUGUGUAGAGUCACAUCUCGCGGAAAUUAUCGUCUUGGAUUCCAUUAAGAGCUAUCAGCUCAACCUCAACCACUAACAGAGCACUACUCACCAUAGGGGUGGGAUUAGAGCUAAAGCUCCUCUAAAUAAAUUGUAGAAAGUGCUCUUUGGCCAACCUAACAGCUUAUUUUUACCAUAUUGAACCUUCUUCAAGGGAUCUCCUAUCACAAAGGUUGGGUUCCCAUUGCAGGAAGGCCCUAUACGGGCAAAGUCCCACUACUAUAGGUACAAAAUUUAGUGGCGACAUUUAGUACAAGAUUUAGUGGCGACAAAUGUCGCCACCAUAGCCAAAAUUGUUGCCAUGAAAAAUGUUUUGGCGGCGACAAUUCAUCGCUGCAUACCGCCGCCUAAAACCCUGUCGGUAAAACUGUUUAGUGACGACAAUAUUGUCGCCAAUAAAAGUUAGAUAAUUAGCGGCGACAUACUGUCGCCGUGAAAAGUUAGAUAAUUAGUGGUGACAAGUUGUCGCCGCGAAAAGUUAGAUAAUUAGUGGCGACAGAACCCUAAACCGGGACCGAACGUUUUGGUGGCGACAAUUUGUUGCCGCUAAAAGUUAGAUAAUUAGCGGCGGCAUAGUGUCGCCGCGAAAAACUUUAGAUAAUUUGAUUGUGAUUUAAAUCUAACUAAAUUUUGUGAUGAAAAUAAAUAAAUCAACUUACAGAUAAUUGCUAAAUUCCAAAUAAAAAUUUAAUUGAUCCGGAAGCGUGCGAAGCACUGCCCUAAGACGUAUUCCCGUCCUUCAUGCAGGAUUAACCAGAAACACCGCCCCAAGAUACGACCGGAAUUCCACUUCCUACGAGCACGAACGCGGAAGAGGUUGACGGAGACUCUUUCAACACCAGGUGAUAAACGAAUCACAGAAAAUAAAAAAUAUUAUCAAAUCUCUAAAUAAUCUUGCUUCAAAAAUUACUGGACAAACACUUUUUGCUUCUCUGUUUCCUUUUUCUCACUAUGCACCUUUCACAGGCUCAUCCUAUAUAUAUAUAUAUACACAGCAUGCGAAAAAGAAAAAAAGGAUGUUGCCACGUUCUAUGCGGAACGGGUGCGCAUCUAGCGCGCGAGCAGGGCGCGAGCGUGCGCGGAGCGGGCGCGCACGUAGCGUGAGCCCGUAACGUCCGCAGAGAAUAAAAAUAAAAAUAAAAAUAAAAGAAUUAGAGAAUUAAAGAAUAAAUAAUAGUAGUUGGGAAAUUUUAAAAUUUUCACCAGCAUGGAGAAGGUCUAGGACGGUUGCAGCAGGUCGGGGAGGUCCAGAGGAAGGAUUUGGCAACGUCCAAACGCAACCAGUGCUACGCCCUAGCUGCUGCGACUACGGUCGAUUUGAAAUAACCUCUUAAUAAUAAAAAAGAAAAGAUGGGUUACUUUAUAGAGCCCUGCAAUAAUGUGGUCCAUAUUGGGCUAUUGGAUCAAAGGCCCAACGCAGGCCUAUUUUGAGGCCCCCUAAUUCACAUCAUUUCCAACUAAAAAGGCCCGUAUUUGUACAACUCCGUAACCUUGUCGCUCUCUCCCUCUCUCUCUCUUCCUGCGAUUCCGCACUAUAAUCGUCGUCGUCGUCGUCGUCGUCGUCGCCGUCGCCUCUCCGACGAGGUCGCCAUGGACGAGGUCGCGUUUGCUGUGGAGGGCCUGAAUGGGGAAUGGGACGAAACCGCGGUGCAAAUCCGAGAGCGGAUCGCAGCGAUCGAGGGUUGCGGGAGAUCCGGGAGGGGGACGGAGGAGGCGAACUCGCUCCCGCGGUUGAACGCCUCGGCGCAGGACGGGCUCGCCUCGCUCAGAUCGAUGCAGUGCAAGCUCGAUCUACUCGCCCAGCAGUUGCCCACACCAAACGAAGUGCAGCGUGGCCAAUCCACUCUAGAGUCCUGGAAGGAACAGUAUAACAAGUAUGUUUGUUCCUCUUGCAAAUUAUUUUUAUUAUUUUCCCUUUUUCUUUUUCAAGAUCCUAGUGAAUUUUUGCUCGUUGACACUCUUAAUCGUUGGAAAUUUGGAGGGGAAAAAAGAAAAACCAACCAUAAUUUUUGCAAGAUUUUGGGGCUAAUUAUGGUCCGUGACACUCAUUUGGCCGUUAUAAUUUCAUGUUUAUCCCUUUGCUCUCUGAAUCGUAAGAUAAAAUUUGGACGAAUUUAGGGGGGUUUGAGUGAGGUGGCUGAUUGAAACGGAUUGAGAGUUCGUAUAGUUUUUCUUUUAAUUUUUUGAAGUUCGGGUUAGUAAGUAUAAUCCGGCUGAAGUUUGUUUAAUCAGGCCCAACAUUUCUAUUUUUUUCUCGUUUUUCAUGGAUUAAUUUCUCACAAUUUUCCUAUGUUGAUGUUUGUAGGCUGCAUAUGAGCUUGAGGAAUGCGAAUCUGCAGGCGAAGCAGAACAUCAGGAAAGCUGCUCAAGAAGAAGUGAGUUUCUCUUCUUAAACCUGGAAAUCAUAAGACGCCGCAUAUUGAGAUGCAUGAUGUCAUUUUACGUCCACCACUAAGUUUUGGAGUAUAAUUUUGUCCAUGUGCAUCUUAAUCGUAUGUCUGGGUUACUCACUUUUGCUCACUAUUGUUGAAUUUUUCACUGGGAUAUGUCCGUGUGAUUUAAUUGUGUAGUCCAAUGAAAUUGUUUAUUUCAUUCUUCCAUCGGAGUAUCUAAGAUCAUUCUAAUUAUUGGUAUCAAACUCUUUUUUCACAGAGAGAGCUGCUUUUAGGAGGUGGGGAAGAGUCUACCAUCCGCAGACGUAAUUUAUAGUAUGUUGAGUUGUCAAGUGAAAAUUUUCCCAUUUAAAAUUGCAACAUUUAGAUGUUCAUGUAGUCCGAACGAAUGUUUUUUGCGAAACCCGUCCUUAACUUGGUCUUUGAAUUUUACAAACUUGUUGAUUUGGAUUAUUUCCACUACCAGAACAAUUUCCGUUGUUCAUGGCAGUUGGAACGCAAUGUCGCUUGUUAAUAACCAUUCUAGGAAUGCUAAAAAUAUUCAACAAUAGCAACAGCUCUAAUGCUGACUGUCAGCUAUAAAAUGAUUUUAAUGGUUCAUUGAGGAAAUUCAAAGUAGAAGGUUCUUAAUGCUCGGUAGUCCUGAUGAUCUCCAUCAUCGGCUUCAUUUAGGGUGAUUUUGAGAAUUUAGUUGUUGAAAAAAUCGCUAGAUACUUGGUUCAAUGUUAGGUAGUUUUGGUAGAAAAAUGCUCUCUUUGGCUUAUUGUUGCCAAGUGAGAAACCAUGAUUAGCAUUUAUCGAUGCUUAUUUAGGACAAAGGCUGGGAUGACUUCUGCUGCAGAAAGUAUCACUGAGAGCCUCUGCCGGACUCGUCAGCUGAUGGUUCAGGUAAAAUAAGCUCUGCAAGCUCUCCUUGAAAUUUUAUAAUCUUUCUCAGGGUUAGUAUUAAUCUCAAAUGUUUUUGCAGGAGGUGGAAAGAAGUUCUAGCACAUUAGCAACCUUUGGUAUGACUCCUCCUUUUGCUAAGUAGAUUUACUUGCUAAUCACAUGCUUCCAUGAAAGUAAUAUUAGCUUGCUGUGGUUUCUCAUGGUUUGGUUAAAGAAGACUUAUAGCAUGGAUGUAUUGACUAUGUAAUCCGGAAGCAGAUAAGCGUUGUUUCCCUGGAAAAAAAUGAGAGGAAAUUUUUGUAGGUUGGAAAAAGGCUUUGGAAGUACCAUGACUAUUCCUUUCAAUCUUGUAUGAGAUUUGCCUCGAGAAGUUCAGCAAGGUUCCUUUGCCAAAUGACUUAAUAAUUUCUCAAAUUUGAUAUUCAGGAUUCCUAAUAGAAUGUAUGGUGCCUAGUGGCGAGUGCUAUUGGAUUUCAAUAUUGUGCAAAUUGAUUAGUAUCUGUUGUUAAUGCUCCAUGCAAUUAAUGAGGAUGAUUGUGUCUCAUGCCUACAAGUAUAUCUAUUCAACUUAGAAUUUCUGGUUCUUCAAUCUUUGUAGAACUCUUGCAUAUCUCGUAAUUACAGAUCCAAGUUGAUGAUAAAUUUAACUUUGAAAAACCUAGCAGCGUAGAGGAGCUACUUGUUUGUAAUUUGGUAUGUAUUAAUUGAAUAAGAAGAUAGAAAAUAAGAAACAAACUAUUUGCUGUAUUUCAAAGUUUACAAUGGGAAGAGUCUGUGAAGAAAACCUCAAAAAUGGACUAUCAAGAAGAAAUGUGUUAAAGAAGGUGUAAGGAAGUGAAUUCUCGAAAUCUGAGGAUUAGACUUCGUCUAGAAUCGACUGAUUGUCGAGGGUAUGAGCUUCGGAAGGUCCGGAGGUGAUUAAAAUGCAUAAAGUGCAUUAAGGAAGAGUCCGCGAGAGCAGCAGUGCAAAAUCUGCACUGGAGCAGAAUUUGCUCUCGGGGACCGGUCCCUGGCAGGGAGGGACCGGUCCCAUCAGGCUGGGCUGGCGGGGAUCCUUGAUGCAACCGGUCUCUCGCAGGUAAGGACCAGUCCUCGAACGUUAACCCAGCGAAAAAGGCCGAAAUUUGGCUAAGUCCCGAAAAUCCAACUCUCGGGAACCGGUCUCUCGAACAAGGACCGGUCUGCCGGGGACCGAUCUCUCAGGCUGGGACCGGUUCCCGAAUGCGAAAUCCCCUCUGCCCAAAUAGGAGGCUCUUGGGGACCGGUCUCCCCGAGCUAGGACCGGUCGCUCGCUGCGAAAUCAGCCCAGUGAAGGCUGUUUAAUAGAUGGAAAGUUGAGGGGUUUAUUUGCAAAAUGGCUUAUAUGAGAGGCUGGGGGACCUCUCUUCUCUCACAUCCCUCUCAUUUGCUCUCUCCCUCUUAUACUCUUUCUCUCUCUCUCUCUCUAGAAAGAAAAGAAGGAGAAGAAGAAGGAGAGGAAGAAGAAGAAGGAAAAGAAGGGAAAAAGGAAGGAGAAUACUAAGAAGAAGAAGAAGAUCGUCUUCUCUCUCUCUCUCCCUCAAGCUUGGAGCUUUGUUUAGAGGUAAGCUCUAAACCCUUUAAUGGUAUUUCUAGGAUUUGGGGUUUUUGUUGCUUAGAGAUGGUUCGAAUGGAACCUAUUGAGGUUAAGGAGAUGGCUCGAGCUCGAAAUUGAAGCUCGCACCACGGAUUUCCCUAUCGUUGCCAACUUAGGGCACGGAUUUGGGAUUUAUGGAAAUUUAGGGUUUUGAUCUAUUUUAAUGGGUCGCAAACCUAAUUGCUAGGUCUCUGAACGCGUUGACGAAGACGGUUCGUCGAUCCGACGAGCGAGUGUGAAGAUAUUGCCGAAACUGAUACUUGAGGGUUCGCUUUGCCCCGAGGAGUUAAAGCGACGUACAAGGACCGCGACGUCGAGUUUGUUAACUACGCGGCACUACCAAAAGGUGGGGGAAUGCCAUCCCGAAGCAGUCGAGCUGCUUUCUAUGUCUGAGUUCUAUCGUUGAUCCAUUACAUAUUGUAAUAUAACAUCAUAGGGUGUUUUAUGCAGUUGUUACAUAUCUAUAUUUGCAUGCUAGUGUAAUGUGGCUUAGUUGAUAUAGCACUAGAACCUAGUAUGCAUGAGCCGAAUAUGAGAUGGUUAACCCUAUAUGUGUGGAUGUACAUGUAGCCAUGGAAACCUAGUACAGUGUGGACUAGCAUAUUGCGAACUUGUCAAAAGAACGAGUGGCAUGUAGUUAACUAUGAACACAAACGAGUGGCAUCUAGUUGACGUUGAAUAUGAGAACCCUAGUGUAGUCAAAACACUAUGAGCUUGGGUAUUGGAAUGCUUGAUUCUAUGAUGAGACCAACUUUAGUUGGUAGGACCAGUUUGUGAGUUCAGAUUAUACUCACAUAGCCUGUCUGCGCUUGUCGGGGUCGCUCCCCACAGGCUGUGCACUCCGGAGUAUUUGUCACUCGAGGGGCAGUCGCCAUGCGCUGCCUGGACAGUCAGUGUAUCUGUCCGCAGGCGGUCUCGGGGAAUAGUUCAGCGAGGCUUUUCCCUAUGAGACUAUAAACGUGAGAUUGUGUUGCCGGAUUGAUCGAAAGAUUGGGUAAAGUAAUGAACAAUCCUUAUUGUUGAGAUAGUAGUAUGGUAGCUACGAAUUCAGUAUGAAUGACAUGCAUGCAUGAUUCCAGAUUGAGGUAUAGUUAGAUGCUCAUACAUAUACUUGCUUAUUCCUCGUUAAUGCUUUCAGUUUCGUAUAUAUCUAUCUAUCUGCAUAUCUAUCUGUGCCUUCUUAGACCUAGUGGGAAGAUCGGCGGAGUCGGCGGCCGUACCCACUGGGAACUAUUCGUAGUUCUCAUCCCACUUUGUUGCAGGUCCGAGUUCGAGUGUCCCCGGCGAGCGUGAGGAUCGUGGCAAGGGCAUAGCGCCCUAGUGAUAUAUGUACAUAGCUAGCUUUAUUUCCUUUUGCAUUAGCUCUAUCCUGUACUUAUAUUGAGAGUAGAUGUUGUAUAGGGUGAGGUUUUGAGAGUCAUUGUACAUAUGUUUUGGAAGAAUGUAAAAGAUGAAAUAAUUGUAUAUAGUUGAAUGGAGGUAAUAGAAUAGUUAAGUAUCUCUCUUUUAUCACUUGUAUGCUUUACUUGUGUUGCUUGCUCUUGGUUGAUAAGCACUGUUUGUGCUUCGUCGUCGUUGUUUGAUCAUGUAUGUAAUCAAGUGCAUUUCCUGGGAGCUUGUGUACAUGAUCUCGUCGUUGAGGCCUUGGGCGAACAGGGGAGUUGCCGUCCGUUUGGCGGUCCAUUCGCCGCGCCCGAACCGGACCAAAUCGGUAGCGGACUCGGGGCGGGGGCGUGACAGAAGGCAUUCCUUGAUAGUAAUAGUUCCAUGACUUUAUAAUAUGUCAUUGAUUGGACAUCAUUCAAACUUCUUAGGCUUGAGCUUUCUGAUGUUUAUCUCUCCUAUUUUACUUGAUAGCUAUGAUGUACGGAUACUUCAAAUUUCAUGCAGUACUCGUAUUGGAUACAUAUUGGACACCGAUAUGCGCCCGAUACGUGCCCGAUACGGGAAUGAAGUAUCCGGCAAUUUAAAAAAUAAAAAAAAUAUCGGAUACGGCUUGGAUACAGGGGGGAUACGGCCAGAUUUUUUUUUGGCCUAAAAUGAUCGGAAUUUUCAAAUUUUUUUAAAAGCCCACAUCCAAACCUGUUGAAAAUAAGGACAAGAGUGAGAAAAACACCAAUCUCUAUUUAGUUUGUCAUUUCUUCUAUCUUUUUGCUCUUGAAUAGUAGAAAGCGCUCCCUCUCGUGCUAUCUCUACACAAUAUUAAGCCAUGAUUUAGGUCUUCACUGCUUCUCUUUUACUCUUUUUCAUCUAAUUUGUCAACCUAGCAUUAAGCAACAAAGGCUAUAAAGAAUAUGAUUUUUUUUUCUUUUUUAUUAAAUUGCUAGCAUAUUUUCUUUUAUUACUAUUUUAAUAAUAAAACUAAUAGAACAAACAUAUAUGUUGAAUGGUUAAUUAUCUAGUUUGUGUGACUACAUAUCUAUUUAUCAUUUGAUCAAAUUGGAGAAUAAUUGGGUGAUACUUUAUGAAUUAUUAUUUCAUAUGAACAAAUGUAGGACAAUUAUACAAGUUACUGUAUAUUAGAAUAUAUUUCUUAAUAUAAUCCAGAUAUCCUACUUGUUAUCAAUAUAUCAUUACAUAUAAUCAAUAUAUAUUUAAGUAUAUUUAAAUAAUACUUUAUACAAAUAUACCCCGCGUAUCGUAUCCUGGAAGUUUUAGGAAGUGCUGUAUCACCGUAUCUGUGCCGUGUUGUAUCCGUAUCCCCGUAUCCGUAUCUGUGCAAUAUAGCUUGAUAGGCCUAAGAUCUUCUUUUGCAACUCAUGUUAAGACAGCUCAUUUUCUUAUGCAUUUGUAAGUUGGCGAUAAUGUUCAGUUUUAUAUUUUACGACUAUUGAACCACAGUUAACUGCUGCACUUUUAUCUUGCAUUCUUUUUCAUUUAUCAGAGGAAUCAACAAGUGUCCUAAGGAAGGCUGAGAGCGAGUACAAAGGGCAUCGCUCUUUGCUUAUGCGUACCUGCCGCUUGCUCUCCACAAGGCAGCGUCAGGAUGUUAUUGACAGGUUAGCGCCUUUCAAUUUUUCAUAAGCCAAGUUUAUGCAUGCAGCUGACAAUUUUUUAUAGUGAGAAGAUACUUUAAUCAGAACUCAGUUUAUGGGUCCCAUUUGCAAUCAACAUGUACUAACUGUCAUUUCCAUGUAACAGGGUCAUUCUGGUAAUUGGGUUUCUCAUAUUCUUGUCUGCGGUGUUGUUAGUUUUCUCGAAAAGGGUUGGCUUGUUGACGUUACAAAGGAAACUUGUGGAUGCUAUUAGAUCAGGUUCAAUAGCAAAUGAACAUGUCAUUCAAGAUGUCCAGAGAUUGGCAGCGGGAACCCAGGAUAAUGCAGUUCCUCAUGCAGAAAUUCGGCAUGUCUAUGAUGAACUAUGAAUAGGUGAUUUCAACAGUUAUUGGAUUUAUGAAUAUUUCCUUUGUAGGCAGUUUAAAAAUUAUGCAGGCACAUUUUUGUACACGAGAAGGCUUGUAUCCUGUAAUGCAUAACAUCUAGGCAGUUUAAUCAAAUUGGUAUCUCUCGUUGAUGCCUAUUCUUUCAUAUGAGAGUGGCAAACUUUCUCAGUUGUUAAAUUGUACACAAACAAAUCCCUGCUUUGCAGUAACAUUUUUUACUCUUAAUUGUAUUAUCUCUAUAAAAACCCUUUAUUCUGUUAUUUUUCGCUUUCUUCGGGUAUAUAUCGUGUGAUAGUGAACCUCUUUCUGCUUUCCUUCCACUCCUAUUGAUGAUUAGACACGACAUAAUACCCUAGCAGCAGGAUAAGUUGGAUGAUGAAGCAACUUGGUUCUUUUGACCUAAAAUGUUGUUUCCUGUGUGCAUUAAAGUUCGUCAUACUAGUAUUUCUCUCAGCAUGGCCACAACAUGCUUUUCUUCUCACUUUGCCCCCUUAAAUUAAUCGAACUCAUGGUGUAGAAAGUGUUUUUAGAUAUCUACAUUGUUCGAUUCUGUAAGGUGACAACAUUGUACAUUUCUGGCUCUUGCAAUUCUCUGCAGUUUCUGAAGUAUGUUUGGGGUUCUCUUAUUUUGUUGCAUUCGCUAAUUGACUGUUACAAUACAAAAGUUUCCGCAAAGGGAAUUCCAAAAAUCAAAAUCAUAAGUUAUAUGAUCAUUCCUUAAAAAAGGGAAAAAAAAAAACUACUUGCAUGAUAUUUCUUAACAGUAAGUGAAAUGAGCAACUAUGAGGUGAAAACUACAGUACAAGUUUUACGACAGAAGCGGUUUUUCGAUGUCCUCAGUUUGCUGUGUUGAUACUUUUGAAGUCUCUUCUGAGGUAGGAAGAAGUAAUCCUUCUUUCUUCUUUGCCCACAGAACUAUGUACAGGCCGGAAAAUAGAACUAGUAUUCCUGCUAAGCUGCAGCAUGACAUACCCAAUUAGUCGAUAUUGAUCAAAAGCGUUAUGAUUAAUACUUUCUUUUUGACUUGUAGAUCUCUUUAUUUGGUUGGAGACAGCAAAGAGGAAGAGAAAAGAAUAUUUCAGCUUUUCUAUUUGGAAUGAGACUCGAAAAAUGAAGAUAACUGAAGAGAAAAUAAGCUCCUCCUAUAGUGGAGAGAAUAGGUAAUAACAACACUAUUAAAGACCCAUUUUCGUUUCUCUUCAUUUCUCUACUUUGUUAUCUCCUCUCUUAUUAUUCUCACCCAAUCAUAAAGAAAUAAAAUUCUAAUGAUCUUGUUGUUAGAUGUGAUUUUCAUUCAUACCUUCCUGGUUGUAUGACUUGCCCUAAGAAAAUUGCUGAGAGGACUGUUGUACCCACAGUUUGAGUGGGGCUAAACAUGGAGACAAUCACCACUACAGGAAAUUAGUUAAAAGGCGACACUUAUUUAACGGCUUUUUGAAUUGGGCCGGCCCAAAAUAGUAGCCGAAAUUAUAUAUUGCUCCUCUCUUUAUCUGGGCCUAGCCUAUAAGUAAUUAGCCAUCUCCUUCUCUUUCUCUCUCUCUCUAGGCCCAAAUUAAUUACCUAUCUCUCUCUUUCUCUCUCUCCCUCUCUCCUUCUUCUACAUAGACCCAAAACCCGACACCUUGCCCUUUCUCCCUCGCGUCUCCUCCAACCUCUUCCUCUCUAGGGUUUUCUCCUCAACCAUUUUCUAGGGUUUUAGACUCGUCCGCUCCUCUCAACCUCACAUACGAUGGUCGGAUUGGGAAGGAUCGUUCGCCGAGGUGAUCCCCUUUGAGCUCGCACGUGAUCGUCGCUUGGGAGGACCUUUGCCGAGGUGAUUCCUCUUGAGCUCGCACGCGAUCGUCGCUUGGGAGGACCUUUGUCGAGUCACACGCGAUCACCGCUUGGGAGGAUGUCACGCCUCGAGCUCCGCCUAUUUGGUCGGAUUCGGGCCACGUCAACAGACGCCGAAUGGACAGCACCUCCCCUGUCCGCCCAAGGCUCCAACAACAAGUAUAAUUAAGCAACUCAAACAACGAGAUUGCAAUUAUACAAGGCUUGCUCGAGGGCAAGCAACAACAACCACAAGUGAAAGCAAUCUAACUAUUACAUUCAUACAUUGUAACUUGAUCAUUUUCAAUCAACUACAAAGCUUGUACAUUUACUUUACAUUCAGUCUUCCAAUUUACAUAACCAUCUCUCAAAUGAAUUAAUUACAUUUCAUAUACAAUUUACAUUCAUCAACAUAAUAGAUGAAAUAUACAUAGGAUGUCUCUAUAUACAACGGUAGUCCGCUACCUAGAGCACGAUAACCAUGCCACGAGCCCCGCUCGCGCUAUAACCUGCAUGGUUAGUGGGAUGAGAACUACAACAAAGUUUCCAGUGGGUUCGACAACCGACCUCGCCGACUUACCCACUAGGUCUAUUUAGGCAUAUGUAUUUCAAGAAGGAAAGAUAGCAAACCAACUAAUGCUACUACUAAUACAAUGCCUGCAAGAAAAUUGGUCAAUAAACAGAUAAUCAUAUGUAUGAUAAAUGCAUGCAUGCUCUUUCCAUAACUUUACUUUGGCUUUUAUCCAAUCUUACCGGUUAACCUUGUUAACCUCAAUAACUCACAACCAAAAAUUUCUUAAUAACGGGGGACUCGAACCACCCUAGGGACCGUCCUCUAGGGGGACUUUACCACGCCCAGUGGUGACCAACUUAGGAGCGCACCGCCCGAGGGGGAGCUACCUCCCUCAAGCUAAGACUAAUCGUGAGUAUUGAUCAAAUCCUCAACUUGAGGAUAUAUAGCCACUAGUCACAAUGCCACUGUCAUAAUAGGUUUCUACCUAUUUAUUCGUGCCACUUUUUAGUUUACUCUUGCCAUAAUGCCACUAUGCCACUAUAUCAAUGACAGGUCUCUACUUGAUCAUAUAUGCCAAUCUCUAGGCUACACUUGCCAUAAUGUCAUAAUUGGUUAAACUAUAUUUAACAAUUUAUCUCUCAAUGCCAAUUUUGUCUCUAUUGUCAAUGUCACCUUUGUUUACUAUUGUCAAGUCCAAUUCUCGCAUUCAUACAAUCUUUAGGGUUCUACCAUACAUGUCCAUUAUGGUUCUUGUUCAAUCACUAUGUUCAUCUACGUUAGAAGCGUAAUAUUGAAAUUCUAACCAUUAAUCACAUGUCAAACACCCUAUCAUGCAUGAAUGGUUCUAUACAUAAAUAUGCUCAACAAAAUUGAAAUAGACAUAAAGGGGAAUCCGAUGAUUCCGGUGUACACCUCCCACCUUGUAGGAAUGCCAAGAAGCUACGGUUCAAAUCUCGUGAUUUUUGGGCGCCUAUUUUGCGUGCUGCGGCCAUUUGUACCAAAAUAGAGCCAAAUUAGGCUUUUUACUCAAUAUCUAUACUUAGACCUUUCUGUUUGGUCAAACCGAGUUUCCCAAUGCGUCGAGAAUACCCCUAAUUAGGUUUCCACAAGGUCAAUUUAUCUCGAAAACGAUCGGGGGCAAAAGCCCCAAAUUUGGUGCCCUAACAAUGUCAUAUUGCAAUUUUUCCUUAGAUUGAUCUUAGAGCUAAGCAAAACUAACUUAGAAUCAUCUAAGAAGUUCUCUAAUACCAUUUCUAAGCCAUUCCAAACAUUCCUAGGGCAUCUAACAUGAACCCUAGCAAUCCACCAUGUGAGCACCAUGAGAAACCUAGGUUUUCAUGUGUUCUUUGGCCAUUAGAGGGUUUCUACACUUGUAGAAGCUUCAAAACCUAGCUCCCUAGGGUACAAAACCAAACCCUAGACUCAACUUUACAUAAAACCUUACUUUGGUCACAAGCUCACCCAAGUCCACCUUGUUGGAGAGCUCCAAGAUUUUCCACAAGCUCCAAAUCCUCCAAAAAUCCACCUCUAAUCUCUUCCACUUGAGCUCUUGGAGGAGAUUGUAGAGAGAGAAAGGGAAGGAAAUGAGGGAGGAUGAUGAAUGGUUGUGGGAGAGAAGGAGAGGGAGUAUUAGGGUUAUAACAUGUUGCAACAAUAGCAACCAGGCCCCCCACUUCUUUCUAUUUGCAACAGUCUUCAAUGUUGCUGCCAGACCAAAGUGUACCGAUACACGGAAUUUUGUACCGGUACAUUUUCUGUGCAGAGGCAACCCGAGAGCAAGGUUCUCGGUUUCGUAGCAUUUGUACCGGUACACUUUCAAAGUGUAUCGGUACACUUUCAGUUUUUCUCUCAAACCCGAGAGCACACUCUACUCGGGCUACAGGGCUGUACCGGUGACAACUCGAUGGUUGCACCAGUACCUUUGCUCCAGAAUGCUGUUUUAGCUCCGAUUCGACUCUACUUCGCGCCGGUCGAUGCUAAAACUUUUCUAAUCUCUCUUAAACUCAUUUUUAAUCCUUCCAACAUUGUUGGAAUGCUAAUUGCAACUUGUCCAUCCAUCUUUUUCGCAUACUUUAGUCAAUUUGGCUAAAGUUCGAUAUUUGCUACCGAGUUUCGGCAUGUUACAGAGGACCUUCGCCGAGUGCUUGGGAGGAAUCGUUCGUUCACCUUCAUCAUCCUUCUUUCUCACUAUUUUUUUUUGGUAAGUUUUGAUCAUUUUUUGAUUUUUUUUCAUUUUUAAUUAUCAUUUGUGCAUACACUCUGUUUGUUUAUAUUAAUCUUUACCUAGUUUUUUUCUAUUUUUAAUUAGUAUUUUUUUAUUUUUAAUUAACUUCUGAUUCAACUAAUCAAAUCCACCAACAUUUGGAGAAUUGUGACUAUGACCAAUUUUAUAGAGUGUAAUUUAUUAACUGAUCAAUAAAUUAUAUAUAUGUUUGAUCUCUUAAUGAUCAAACCUUAUCAAACAGUGUAUUUUUAUAUACUGGACUAAGUCAAUAAUAUCUUUUCACAUUGUUUAUUUUGUAAAUACAGCCAAAAUAGCAGCAUUAAUUGUUUGAAAAAAGUGCUGGUGUUAAAAAACACAUGCCAAGUCGGAGAGCUUAAAUUGAUAGAUAAAGAAAUUUCUCAUAAUAUAUAUACAUCAGAAUUUUAAUUUGUGUCCAAUAUGGGAGUAAUCUUCUAUGUAAUCUCUCAACUGAAUGCAUCGGAAUAGCAUUGACUCAUUAGGCUAAUUCUGUAGAGAAAACAUGCAAAGAGAAAAGUUUCUUGUUAAAUGAGAGAUUUGUAGCUCUGAUAAAUCAUAUAGGAAAGGUGAUUUGUAGCUCUAAUCUAAUAUUUACUCCUUAAAGUUUGACCUUAAUUUCAUUUAGACAGUUUAAAUUGUAACAAUUUAGGCAGUGAAGUUUGUUCAGAUGACAAUUUUGUCCCCAUGCUAGUUCACAGUCCAAAAAAACACCAUGUCAAAAUCAUCAUUAUUCUUUGCUUUAGUAAUACUGAAACAAUGAGAACCAAAACUGAAAUUGGGCUCAAACUUUCAGGGUUAAAUUGUUAAAAUUGCAAUUUGAGGACGAAAUUGAAAUCUUUAGGGGUUAAAUUGCUAAAAUUGCAAUUUGAGGAUGAUAUUAGAAUCAAGUCAAAUCUCAAGAACUAUAUUGUUACAAAUUGAAACUUGGAGGGAGGAAUUGAAAUUAAGGUCAAACAUAAGGGACUUAAUUUCUAAUUAACCCUCUCAUAUAGUAACAAGUAGAAUAAAAUGGAAACAGAAUUGAAGGAAAGACUUGCAGGAUACCUCAUCAGAUAUCCCAAUAGGCCUAUUUCUUUUGGAUACGUGAUCAGAAUCAGCUGACGGGUAAUCUAUGGUAGAGUUGGCAGUUGUAGGUGUCCUAGGAUGCUUCAAUAUUGCAGCUAUGGAAAACAUGAGGAUAAGUCAGAUUAUCAAAUCAAACGCACUAAUUAUACAGUGCCAAUUUACAUCUCCCACAAAAAAAUUUGUUCACAUAUAUACCCCUGCCAAACUGGAACUUCUAUAUAUACACUUCAAAAGUGCAUUUUCUUACAUGAGUACCAUUACCAUUACUUCAAGUUGAGGAGUCAUCCAACUCAUAAAGGAAGUCAGUUUUGUACUAAAAAAUGGUUUUGUAGUAGAAAGCACUUUCUUCGGGGCAUUUUAAAAGUUAAAAGGUAUAUAUGUAAGAAUAUAAUUAUUUGAAAAGCUCAUGUGAAGAAUCAGAUUCCGCAUGAGCAUAUAUGUAAAUAGAUAAUAUUGCAGGGACACAAAAACUUGUAGUACCAGGAUUUGUAGGAGCACCCAGUCCAAUAGCUCCACCAGAGAUAGCUGGAUGAGUUACAUUAUUCCUGUUGCUAAUUUUGGUCUUCAGAACAAUUGAUCAAAGAAAAAGAUUAAUUCUAGCCAUGGAUGCAGCAUUUGUGUAAUACACUGAACUUUUGCAAAUUGUGAAGUUCGAGUGAUGGAACAGUAAUUGGAACUAUUCUACGACUUUUGAAGGAUUGUGAGAGGUUUUCAGCAAGUUACUGAAGCAAGCAAGUGGCUGGAAGUGGAAAAGUGCAUUGCAAAUGCACUAUUCAACUAUAAUACUCUGAACUUGGUCAAUUGCGAAAUUCGAGUGUGGGAUGGGUAUUGGAAGCUAACCCACAUCUUUUAAAGAGUUGUAGUAAGGUUCUCGACAAGUUUGAGAGUGAUCAGGCCGCAGGAAGCGAGAAAAUGCAUUGCUACUGUCUAUUUUGCAAUUCUGCAUUGUUGUACCGGUACAAGCAUUAUUCUGUACCGGUACAACAGCAUCAGUAGCAGCAGCUGCGUGGCAGCAUGUCUCUUUUGGUCUUUUGGGCAAUUGAUCUUAUCCCCUCAGGCCCUGUUCGACCCCUGAAGUUACUUGGGGGUUAAGGAAGCUCAGAGGAAGGGAAUUUCACCUCAUCCACUUUCUCUCUCUAGAUUUUCUCUCUCCUUGAGAGGAAAUCAAAGAUUUAAGCCUAUUGCUUCCCUUCUUUUGCGUUUGCUUGUUCAGGAGUCUUGGAGCAGCUGUGAGAGGGUAGAAAGGAGUCUUGGGUGAGGCGUUUGCGCAGCUCAAACUCAGUCGGAAGCUGAGUCGAAGUUUAGUGAGGUGAGCUAACUUAUUUUCCCUCUCUAGCUUGAUGCUAGUGAUGAAGUGAUGAUGGUUUUUGUUCCUUGCUACCCGCAGGAUUGGGAAGGUUUAAAGCAGCCAGAGAAGAGCUAUUUAGCUGUGAUUUCUCUACUUUAGUUCAGGGAGAAGCUGAAUUGAGGCUUGGCAAAGGUGAUUAGUUAACUAAUUACUCUAUUUCGAAGCUAUACAAGGUUUAGCAAUGAGUAUUGAUGCUGAUUUUAGGUUAUUAGCUGACAGCAGCUAUGAAAAUCACUUUGAGCUGAGAUUGUGACCUCGGGAGCUGGUUUGGAGGGUGUUUCAGCUAGUGGUAAGUAGAUUUCCUGGCUGGAAAUCUGAUUAAGUAAGAUUUCAGCCUAUACUAUGUAAUUGUAUAAUUGUACUAAUGCUGUUUUGGUGAUUGUUCGCAGCAGGUUCACAGCGGACCGUUUGAUCUCUCUCAGCUGAUUUUUAGAAGCUUUCGAAGAUUGAAAUUGGUACAUUAACCUGAAGCGAAACAGAGAUUCGAGUUAUAGCAUCGUACAAGGUGAAAAUUGACCUCUUUGAAGGGUUUAUGUCGCAGCAAUUGGUUAUCCAUUUCGAGUUGAAGUUAAUAGUAGUGAUAAGCUGGAUUAGGGUGCUGUAACUCAAGUCGAAGUAGAGGUUGGACCCUGCUUUGAACUUAAGUGAGAUUCUAACCUCAAUUGCGCAACUAUAUAAGCGUAUUAAUGCUGAUUUUGAGUAUUUGCUCGCAGCAGAUUCUCGGUAGAGUGUGGAACCUUUCAGUUGAAGGUUUGGUGGAUACUAAAGGUUAGGAUUGGGCAUAUUCUAACCUACAGCAAGGUGAUCUUACCCCUGGCUCCAUUUCAAGUGCGGAUUUUGCUUCAACUAGGUGAAUUGCAGGGUUCUUAGGCACUUUGACAUAAAGUAAUGAGUUGAACUCUUAAUUGAUUUUGGAUUACUUGUUAGGUUAGCAAGAAGCCGCGGAUAUCUCAUUCCCGAACUCGACAAGAGGUGUCGACUAUUUGGUGGGUCGGACCUUCCCGAAAUGAGUGAAUUCCCUCUAUGUCUUCUUUGACAUUAUGAAUUGGAAUGGUGACAUAUUCACAUGCAUGUAUGGAUAUAUGAAUGUAUAGGGACAUGCACUGAAUGUCGAAUAGAUCAUAUAUGAUAAAACCUCUAUCUAUAUGGAAUUGUCUGGUUUAUAUAAACUGCUCGCUUGAUUAGCAUGUAGUUAUGUUAAAGGAUGAUUGGGUGGACACUGGAUGAUUGGGUGGACACUAAGUAUAACCUCCUUCAAAGUGGAAUAACUGUAAAAUUAAAAAUAUGACUUUUGGUCAAUUGAACAGCUGAAUGAAUGAUGUAUUGAGAUAAUGUGUCUUUGAACUAAAUUACACUAGUUGUACACGGUAGACAAGUUGAUUGAACUUUCAGCAUAUCAUAUAUGUGAACUACAUGUUUAUGUAAUGAUAUGUAAACCAUGUUAACAGUACAGUUAAAGAGGCUUCGUAUACAUGUACUGCCAAGUUGAUUAUUGUUAUCACAGAAUGAUUUCUAGUGUUGGAUUAUAUAAUUAUGAUUUAAUUAUGUAGUUAGAACUGGUAUUGUAACACAACAUGGUUGUUAUAGUAUGAACAUAAUCUAGUGAAUAACUAGAGUUGAAUAUGAUGACAUAUCUGUAUAAUUCAGUAGAGUAAUUGCAUAUUACUUGUUUACUCCUAGUANUUGAUUAUUGUUAUCACAGAAUGAUUUCUAGUGUUGGAUUAUAUAAUUAUGAUUUAAUUAUGUAGUUAGAACUGGUAUUGUAACACAACAUGGUUGUUAUAGUAUGAACAUAAUCUAGUGAAUAACUAGAGUUGAAUAUGAUGACAUAUCUGUAUAAUUCAGUAGAGUAAUUGCAUAUUACUUGUUUACUCCUAGUAAAGAGUGAUGAUGUGGAAUUAUAGAAUAUGUGCCACGAGUCAAUUGACAUGACCUUAGAAAACUACUUCCCUUGUGUAUAGAGAAUAGGGAGAGGACUCUAUGGAGUAUGUGUGGGUAUAACCCAUCAUGAUGUAAAAUAUAUAUACUUGUUUAAGUUAUACUAGCUAUUGGUCAAAGUAUGUCAACAAGUAGUUGAUAGUAACCUAUGAUUUGAGUACUACAGUGUCGACUUUGCGUCGAGUUGAGAUUCCAUGUCAGAGACAUGAUGACGUUGUGAUACUUAUGCUAUAGAUUACAGCUUGCAUGCCAUUGUGCUCUUUCGCACAUGCUUGUGGGGGUCGCGCCCCCCAAGCCAACGCUCCGGAGUGGCUUAGCGACAGAUUGCUCGCUUAUGUACGAUUUGAGCGCCGAAGUGGAUUGCCGUGGGUAGUGUUGACUUCCAUGGGGCCAUUAGGCACGGCGCGGCUAGGACUUUACCUUGUGUAAGUCUCUUAUGAAUUGGGUUAUUAUGAGUUACUUGGAUCUUAGACGGACAAAGUAGUAAAGAGACUGUAUGUCAUUAGUCGAGUAAACCUAGUAUGAACUUACUAGAAAGUUGACAUUCUGAUUAAUUAGUAGUAUAAUGACAGUAUGUUUACACUUUUGGUUAGUGUAGAAAUAACUUCAUAAUGUCAUCAACUAGUUAAUGAUAUUUGGUAUACAGUCUAACAUAUAACUAGUUAAACUGUUGAGUGGCAAGAUCAUAAAACCUAUUGCCAUGAACCAGUACAUGAAACAUAUUAGUAAAUAUAUCUUGAGAUGACUGUCAUGAUUGAUCUACUUUAGUACUUGUUGCAUUUACUUGCUUAUCCAUCAUCAUCCACUUAUGUCGCAGUGACCUAGUGGUGUACUUCGCCACUCUCGGCGGCUUACCCACUGGGAACUAUUGUUUAAUAAUUCUCACACCCUCUUUGUUGAUGUUUUUGCAGAGUCUUCCGCAGCGGGAAAGACUAGGGUUCCUGGCGAGGGGUCAACGGCUAGCUAGAGCCUCCUUGACGUUAAAUAGACAAACCCUUACAAGUUUAUGCAGUUUUGAUCAGUAUUGUAUGUUGAAAUCAUGUAAAUUGUACUCUAUCCUUAUCUGUUGUAUUAGAGUUUUGGGUUGUAUAAGUUUAGACUUCUAAUUGUGCUCUGAUUACCUAGUUAAGUUAAGAUUUUGUUACUACAUUGUUGAUUCUCUUUGUAGACGCCUGGUGUACAUUGUGAUGGUUGGUGUACACGGCGGGUCUGUGCACGUUACUGCGAGUUUUCGCUGAAGUCCAGGGCAUGACAAUUUGGGAUGGAGUAUUUGCAUGGGAAGAACAUAGUUCAUUUUGACCUAAAAUGUGAAAAUUUACUAGUGAAUAUGCGAGAUCCACAUCGACCUGUCUGCAAGGUAUGACCAACUUCAGUUUUUUGUCAGUCUUGAAUUCAGCAUUUAUGUACUUGGUCUGUAUUAGUCCAUCUUCUGGGGUGAGUUUCAAGGCAACUUUAGUAUGCAGCUUUUUGUGGAUAAUGAGAGCAAUUUAUUCUUCGAUUAAUCUUAGGGACGGUUUGGUAGAAAUUUGUUUCAUAUAUAAGCAAGAGUUAUAACAAUAAUUAUGGAUUGGUUAUGUAAAUUGCCCCUUUUCAGAUUGGUGAUCUAGGUCUAUCCAAGGUGAAGCAACAUACUUUGGUGUCGGGUGGUGUUCGUGGAACUUUACCAUGGAUGGCGUCUGAGCUUUUAAGUGGCAAAAGUAAUAUGGUAUCAGAAAAAGUAAGAUUAAUCAUGGCGAUGAAUGCAUUGCUUUCAUCGUUUAUUAGGAUACUGGUCGAUGCUCUUAAUUACUGAGUCAAAGUAGCAAUUUAGUGUCUUAUAUAUGAAGAAUACAUUAUUCUUUCUCGUUGUAUUCUUUUUGUUGUUAGAUCGAUGUUUACUCCUUUGGGAUCGUCAUGUGGGAGCUGCUUACUGGGGAAGAGCCGUAUGCUGAUAUGCGAUGUGCUUCCAUAAUUGGUAGGAUUACAACAUUCAAUUUAACUCAAACUACUUAUUUUGGAUUGCUAAAAACUAAAACCUCUUGGGUUGUGUUCUGGAAAUUCAUUGUGGGCUUAAACAGCUUAUACAAGUAAUGAGUUUGACACCUGGUUUUCUUUUUUUGUAUCUUCAGUUACUGUUUAAGGUGAUUUUAGAGCUUAUCUUUGAUAUUUUAAGGUCUUAGCUCUUGUCAUUACUAUAGCUAUAAUUUUUUGGAUGAAACACAUUACGUCAAAUGAGAAAUACGGAAGGUUCUAUAUAUGCAACAUGAGAUAGGCAGACUAUGCUCUAGGAAGGGAAAAAAAUCAAGCUGUUUAUGCAACAAAAUGCGAGUUAUGUUUUGAGGGCUCGUAGAUUUAGCAUGAUUACAUCCUGCAUGUUUUCUAAUAACUUUUUAAAGAGAUUGCAAAGUAUUCUUAUCUUAUUUAUAUUGUGUUCAUUUAAGUUUUUAACGAGCUGUUAGUGAGGAAACUUUCAUCAUUAUGCUUUCUAUAGGGGGGAUCGUGAAUAACUCUUUACGUCCUCAAAUCCCAACUUGGUGCGAUCCUGAAUGGAUAUCUCUGAUGGAACGUUGUUGGGCCUCUGAUCCUACCGGGAGGCCAUCUGUCACGCCCCGAGCCCGCUACUAAUUUGGUCCGGUUCGGACAUGUCGAACAGAGGCCGGACGGACAGCACCUCCCCUGCCCGCCCAAGGCUCGACUAUAGAUCAUGUACAAGAAUUUGUCCAGGAAUUUAAAUUCAAUACAUACAUGAUCACAAAGAGCACAACUAGUGCAGAUAAGUAAGAGCAAGAUACAAGUAUGGCAUACUAGUAAUUAAAGAGAGAUACGUCUAUCUAUUACAUCCAUUCAACCAUUCUUUUACAUCAAGUUUACAUUUUGUAACUUGCAAAAUGGAUAUAUAUACAAUAAUCCUCCAAAAUACAUAAGCAACUCCCAAAGUAUAAAUACAUCUCCUCACAGGAUACUCUAAUGCAUAGGAAGCUGCUAUCUGACUAGGGCGCUAUGCCCUUACCACGAUCCUCUGCCGGCGCUCUCUCGCUAGGCCCUGCAACAAAGUGGGGUGAGAACUAUAUAAAUAUAGUUCCCAGUGGGUUCGGCCGCUGACUCCGCCGAUCUCCCCACUAGGUCUAAGCAGGCAUAAGCAGAUAGGUAGAUAGAUAGAUAGAUAUCUAAAACUGUAAACGAUGCAUAUUGAAAGAAUUGCAAUAUUCUACUAUGCCUUGAGAUUCAAGAAUGAACAAGAUAGCCAUGCAUUUGCUAACAUGCUAUAAUACCAACAUCGAGUAUGAAUACAACUCUACAAUGCUCAAUAUGCACAAUAUGCCCAACAUGCAUAACUCUCUCUCUUGAGUUUAUUACCCAAUCAUCUGGCUGGCCCAUAGGCGCGCCCUCAACUCACAUCUCAAAUCCGUCUAUGAAGGGGGACUCGAACCACCCGAAGGACUGUCUGCGGGACCCCACAUAGGCUAUCCCUUGGGACCCUACAUAGGCUAUCCCAAUCGAUUCACGUGCCAAACUCCGGAGCGCACUACUUGUGCGGAGCGACCGUCACAAGCGCUGAACAGACGUGUGAGUAUAAUCCAUUCCUCGUCUAAUGAGGAGAUCCGGUCACUAGGACUACCAUGCCACAAGUGUUCUUUAACACUAAAUUCUAAUGCCACUCGUCAAGUUGUUUACUUGGUAUACAUAUGCCACUCAUCAAGUUAUCUACUUGGUGUACAUGUCACUUGCCAUAAUGCAAUCAUCCCGACUAUACUAGUCAUAUGUCCUCAUAUUCAACCAUGCAAGAUCAAGUUAUUGUUUAACUUAUCUCUAUAGGGUUCUAUGUCACAAAGCUCAUUCUCAUGCAUUCCUAAGUUCACAUGCCAGGCCUACUAUGCCGCAUUACAAAGGAACAUGCAAGAGUAGUAAAGUAACAUCUAAACACCCUACCAUGCAUGAUGCUAUAUAUGUAUGAAAUGUAAUCAACAUAGAAAUACUUAGACAUAGAGAGAAGCCCAGUUGCUUCGGGAUGGACACUCCCCACCUCUUGGGUAAUAUCGCGAUGCUAGGUACUCGAUUUUGCGAUCCUUGGUCGCCGCUUUCACUCUUCGGGUCAACACGAAGCCCCGAACACUUGUUUCGGCUAUAACUUCGCGCCCGCUUGACGAAUGCUUAAUCCGUCGCUUCCCACGCGUUUAGACACCUAGCAAUUAGGUUUACAUAUGAUCAAUUUAGAUCAAAACCCUUCACUUUCAAAAAUCCUAAUUUGGAGCCCUAAGUUUAACCAAUGCAAGAAUCCCCUAUUGGAGCUCUAGAUUCAAGCAUAAUCCAUCUAUUAGAGGAGCUAGGGUUCCAACAAAACCAUUUCUAAAGGAUAAAAAUCCAUCUAGAGGGAUCUACCAUGAAAGCUCUCAAAGCUUACCUCAAGAAGCUUGCUCUAAUGGUGGAGAGGAAGAAGAAGAUGCCAAAGAUCCUUCUCCUAGCUUGCUCCUCCACCAAAUCCUCCUCCUUCUUCACCUUCUAGAGAGAAAGAAAGAGAGUUUAGAGAGAGAGAGGGAGCUAGGCCUUGGGUGUGAAAUGAGAGAAAGAGAAAGUGCUUUCUCUUCUAUACCCCCAACUCAAGUCACAAUUGCAGUUUAGCCCCUCCACUUUACUUCUCUUGACUUGCCCUGCCUGGGCAGUUUUCGCGCACGGGGACCGGUCCCUCAAUGGACAGACCGGUCUCCGAGAGUAGUCUUUGUGAGCAGAGGCUGUCUGCCAGCCUCUACGCGUAUGGGGACUGGUCUCUCCCUGCCAGGGACCGGUCUUCGAGAGUGGAACUCUCAGGACUUAGCCAAAUUUUCCUCUCUUUCGCAAGUUGUGCGUACGGGAACCGGUCCUCGACUGAGGGACCGGACCUUUAGGGACCGGUCCUUGCCCGAGAGACCGGACCCCGAGAGCAAAUAUCGCGCGCAAAGUCUUCUGUCUCUUUUUUUUUUUUUUAGCUUACGGGGACCGGUCUCUCCCGCCAGGGACCGGUCUCCGAGAGCAAAAUUUGCCAAGUGCAGAUUUCGCACUGUUUGCUCUCGCGGAUCCAACUCUAAUGCACUUUUUGGAUUUUAGACAUCUUCGGCUCUUCCGAAGCCUACCCAAUCGACAAUCAGUCGAUUCUAAAUGAAGUCCAACUCUCGUAUUUCGAGAUGCAACAUGAGAUAGGCAGACUAUGCUCUAGGAAAGGGGAAAAAAAUCAAGCUGUUUAUGCAACAAAAUGCAAAUGAGUUAUGUUUUGAGGGCUUGUAGAUUUAGCAUGAUUACAUCCUGCAUGUUUUCUGAUAACUGUUUAAAGAGAUUGCAAAGUAUUCUUAUCUUAUUUAUAUUGUGUUCAUUUAAGUUUUUAACAAGCUGUUAAUGAGGAAACUUUCAUCAUUAUGCUUUCUAUAGGGGGGAUCGUGAAUAACUCUUUACGUCCUCAAAUCCCAACCUGGUGCGAUCCUGAAUGGAAAUCUCUGAUGGAACGUUGUUGGGCCUCUGAUCCUGCUAGGAGGCCAUCAUUCUCUGAAAUUUCUCAAAAGUUGAGGAAAAUGGCUGCUGCAAUAAAUGUGAAGUGUAAGUAUUGAUGAUCCAUGCUGAAGAGCUUAAACUCAUUUUGAGGAAGUGAUCGUAAGAUGCUUCGACCUAAGGCUAUAGUGUUCCAUAGAUCUUGCCGGCUUUUGACGAGAGAGUUAUCUUCUCAGAUAUAUCUUAAGUUCUUUGUUGUUGCCGUAUAUGGCAUUUAUUCUUCAUGUAGUGCGACUACCAUUUUAUCAUAUUUGUACAGUACUUGCUUUCCUAUGGAAUAGCAUGAAGGUUUGAUUAAAAUGUAAGUUGAAUUUCUUAGCUUUUGUUAUUCUUUUUCAUAUCAGAAAGUUGUUUCAUUAUUUAAUAUCUACCUUCUCAUAUUCAGGAGUUAUUGCAGAGCAUCAAGAAUCUUUGGCUGUUAUCUGGCACUGGUAUAUUAUAGUCUUUUUCUUCUCGGUAGGAGUUGGUAUGUACUAAUGUAAAUAAAUUUUGAGUUGCACAAUCUUCUGCCCUUAUGAGGGGACAGUGCGUCAUGCUUCGAUUAUGAGAACUUUAUCGCAAUUUUGCCAUAUUAGCCAGUGAGGAUGAAUCUCUAUGUUGGACCAUAAAUAAGUCAAAUAUAGAUAUCUCCUAUUAUCCAUUUUGUAUAGAAUUUUUUAGAAGAAUAUUGUCUUUUAUGUAUGAGACAUCCAAUAGCUGGCAUGUAUUACCUGGCUUUUCAUUCCAGUUCUUUCUAUCAUGCAUAUAUUAUAUUAAUCUUUACGUCGUGACUCAGUAAAUGCAAAUAUAUUGUUGGUGUAUAUAUCUUUGUUUUCUUUUUACUAAUUCAGUAAUUUGAGAUUAAGUGCUUAAAUGAUCUCACAUGCCAAGCUAACAUAAGCAACGCAUUUGACAUCUGAAACAUUAUGCCAGGCUCUGACAUUUGCACACACAUACUUAGUAGGAAAAGCAAUCAUAUGUUGCCGAUGCCACCAAUGUAUCAGUAGCUAACCACAUCUAAAUUACAAAGUACUCAAAUGAUAAAGAAGAUAUUCUCCUUCAACAACUCUCCGACACUAAGGCAUAUAUUUAGAAGACCCAACAAGAACACUAGGAUGAUAUUAACGUUGGGAUAAGUCAACUCUUCUUAUCCAUGCGAAAAAAACAAUGCUUUGCAUCUGCUUGUUUUGGCAGAGUGUGCCAACUUUGGAGGCAAUUUGAGUGGGGAAGUUCUUUAGGUGACUCUGCUCCAUCAAGUAAGAAACUUCAAGUAUUCUCUUUGGAGGAUUCCUACGUUCUUAUUCCCAUAUCACCUGACAGGUAUACUUUCAUUCAUUUUUGUUUUUGUGUUUUUUUUUUUCUUUCCUUUUUGUCUAUUAGAUUUUGAUUCACUUUUGGAUUAAACCUCUAGUGAUGACAUGCUCCAAGUUUGACUCCAACUAGUGGUUGACAAUUCGCGGUUGGAUUCGAUGUUUACAGAAAUAACUGGUCAACUAAACAAGGACAAUUAGUGCUUUUACUCAUCUUGUUAAUAUGUGCAUGGUUUAGUUAUUAUAUGAUCACUUGUAAUGAAAAGUGUCUGCAGUUUCGGGCCUUGUUGGUGUAAAUUAACCAAAUACUUGGAGAGUUAACAUUGUUUUUCACUUGUUGCCUGUGCUUUUUUUGUUUCGUUUUUCCUUCCACUGUAGAUAAUUUGCCAACAAAUGACUCAAAAUCCUGGUUUGAUCGAAACCGGGUCAAUGUUUUCGCCUCUUCAAAUUUAGGAUUAAUUAUGAUAAUUUCUCUUUUCAGGGAUGUUUGGUAGAUAGAAUUUCACUUUCUUUUUU
RNAcentral lists this long non-coding RNA (78093 nucleotides) under Ananas comosus (pineapple). Its description in RNAcentral is "long non-coding RNA (ACOM_LNC030659)". Lineage: Eukaryota; Viridiplantae; Streptophyta; Magnoliopsida; Poales; Bromeliaceae. The record is from RNAcentral.